RNAcentral lists this long non-coding RNA (57648 nucleotides) under Ananas comosus (pineapple). RNAcentral's name for it is "long non-coding RNA (ACOM_LNC005820)". The record is from RNAcentral. Lineage: Eukaryota; Viridiplantae; Streptophyta; Magnoliopsida; Poales; Bromeliaceae.
UCUACAGAUAGCAUGUAGCUGUAGAGUUCAUCCCAGCUUUCCUUACUAUCUCUUACGCACUUUUCUGUAGACUUAGUGGGUGAGCCGUUGAGGUCGGUGACGGUACCCACUAAGGACUACUGUCACACCCAGGUAUUACCGAUUGUAUAGUAGUCAGACUCUGAUAUCUAAUAUAUUCUUCAAAACUUCAAAAAUAUUUAAUAGACAUCUAAUUGAUCAAAAUAUCGUUAUUAAUUUUUAAUAUAUAUAUAUAUAUAUAUAGAGUAUGGCUAGAAUACUUGUAAAAGUAUCAUGGGGGUGAUACUUGUGUGUUUUUAGCCAUUGGAUGGAGAGAUGUGAGGUUGAGAUGAUGGUGGUAGGUGGUGGUAGGUGGAAUAAUGUUUAAUCCAAGAAUUAUUAAUAAUCAAAAAGUAGAUCCAAUAACUUAAAACCUAAUAGCACCAUGAUGGUGAUACUUGUAAAAGUAUCAUAGCUCAACUCUAUAUAUAUAUAUAUAUAUAUAUAUAUAUAUAUAUAUCUAUAUGCAAGUAAAAAUAUCUUAAAUAUUGUCGCUCCAUAGAUCGCAAUACUUAAUAUUACAUUAUUUUACACAAUCAAAAACCCUACAGAGUGGCAUGGCCGCAGUCACGGGUGGCCGCGCGAUCCUGACUCCGCCGCAGCUGGCGAGCUAUCCGAGCAGCAGAAUGGACCCACGCGGCGCCUCCGCCUCUUCGAGCGCCCCCGAGCUCUACCCCUCCUACCGCCAAACACCCCCCACGUCUACUCGCUCGCUCCUCCACUCCCGUCUCUCCUCCUCCCCUCCCUCUCCCUCUCCCUCCCCUCUCCUCCUCCGCGUCUCUCCUCUCCUCCCCUCCCAUGGUCCGACGACCCCCUUCCUCUCCGCGCCCUCCCCUCACCUCUCCCCCUCCCUCGCCCUCUCCCUCUUCCGCUCCCUCCCCCUCUCCUUCUCCUCCUCCUCCGCACGCUGGACCCUCUCCUUCCACUCCCUCCUCCGCCUCCUCCUCCUCUCCCACCCGCAACCCCAGCACCUCCGCGCCGCCAUGGACGUACUCCUCGAGAGCUCCCGGCGAAGCGACGUCGCGGUCGAGCUCGGCCCCGAAACCCUAGACCUCGUCGUCUCCGCCCUCUGCCGCCGCCUCCGCCGCCCCGACCUCGCCCUCUCCGCCGCCCUCCCCGCCUCCCGCGGCCUCUGCUUCUCCCCCGAUCGCCGCACCUACCGAACCCUAGUUAAAUCCCUCUGCGAUGCGGGCAUGCUCGACGAGGCCACCCAUUUGGUGUACUCCAUGCUCUCCCGCAUCUCCCAGAGGGGUUGCGACGCCGAUGUCGCUGCGUAUCGAGCGCUCCUCGAGGCGCUCUGCGCCGCGGGGCGCGGCGCCGACGCCGAGGCGGUGCUCGGGAAGGUGCUCAAGAAGGGGCUCCGGGCGCCGCGGCGGCGGCGCGCGUUCCGCACGCCGGAACUAGCCGGAAAGAGCCUCGAGGAGGCGAGGAGGGUCAUCGACGAGGCGCUCGUCGUCGGCGGGGUGGAGAGCCUCGCGAGCUACGAGGCAAUGGCGGGGGAUUUGUACGAAGAAGGGAUGUUCGAGCGUGCGGAUAAGGUGUUCGACGAAAUGUGCCAGAGAGGGUUUCGGCCGCCGGUGUCGAUGUACGAUGCUAAGAUCACAGCUUUGUGCGGAGACGGACGGGCCGAUGACGCGGUGAAGGUGUUGGAGGUGGAGAUGGCGGAGAAAAACUGCGUACCGACCGUGAGGACUUAUAAUUUGGUGAUGAAGGGGCUUUGUCAGGAGGGGAAGUCCCUAAAAGCAGUUAGAUAUCUGAAGAGGAUGGACAAACAGGUGGGCUGCGUUGCUAACAAAGAGACAUACGAGAUAUUGGCUAAUGGUUUGUGUUCGGAAGGCCGGUCUCCUGAGGCGGCGCAGGUCCUCGAUAGGAUGCUGAAGUGGCACCAUCGGCCGGAGAGCGCCACAUUCGGUAGUCUCAUUAAAGGGCUCUGUUCACUUGGUCGGAGAUACGAAGCCAUUUUGUGGCUGGAGGAGAUGAUCGGCCAUGGUCGGGCACCGCCGGAUUGCGUCUGGGCAUCUUUGGUCUCUAUGGUAUGUCACAGUAACUUGGUUUUGCAAUCUUCAUGCAUAGGAUUCUUUGAGAUAUUGAGUGGUAGUGCAUCAUAAUUCAUCCUGUAUUAUCAAACUAUUGUAUAUUAUAUAUUGCAUUAAUGUGUUUGAUUUUUUAAUCCAAGCCAUAAUACAAUGAUAAUUGAUACUAAAUUAUGAGCUAGUCUUGCCAAGCUUCCAUGCUUAUUUGGCAAUUCUCAAGGGGGAAAAAGAAUGAAAAAUGAAUCUACAACUAGAGAAAAUUUCUUUAGUUUUGCAGAACAACUUGUGAUCAUCAGAAGAGAUAAACAACUAGACACCAUAAAGGUUUUCAUCUUGGUUCAGUGGCUACAUUAUUAUGUCUAGUUUGAAGUGCUUCUUAAUCUGUUUGAUGAUGUAUAUGAAUGUAAUGGUUCGUGUCUCCAUAUCAUCUGAUUUAGUCUGAUAUUUGAUGCCCCAGUUAACCUUUGCGAGACUUUGAAGAUCAAAGUUUAUGAGAACCGAUAUGUUAUUUUAGGUUACGAGAUGCAAACCGCGUCUAAUUGCGUAUGAGGAUUGGAAGAGAACACUAGCAUCAAUUCCAGAUGAGUUGUUCUUAUAUUUGGCCAAAUUGGUUUCUCUGAAAGGUUUUUAGCCUUUUAUAGGGAGUAUCUUUAGGACAAUUUGGAACUUGAAAGAGUAGAUACAAGUGCGGAAAAUGAAGAGAUCAUAUACCUGAAACAUCCAUUAGAGGCAUUGAGGAAUAAAAAUGGCUAUGAAGUUCAUGAGAUCUCUUUCAAUAAUCAUUCGCAUCAGUUUGUGAAGAGUUUAUUCCUCUCAAAUUCAGCAUGUGUGUGUAGAUAGUUACCUUGUCGGCGCUGCUAUUCACUUGCUCCUUUUGUCCGAAUACUUUUAUGUCUGCAAUAAACGGAUGACACGAACUAAUCUACAAUACAAUCUGUCAUGGAAAGACUUUUGAAGAUUAAUUCCGGAGAAGAUGAUAUACCAUGAGCAGUAAGGCAUUUAAUUUCGGAUAUUAAAGUCACGGGGACUGCAAUUGAUAUAAAAUUAGGGCAGUAUCAUCACGAGGAGAAUAAGGUAGCUAACUGGCUUGCUAUCAUGCAACAUUCAUGAGUUCUUGUUUCUUAGAUGUAUCUGUAUUUGUAACUAUAUUAUCUGACUUUUAUUUCCUUUCUUCUCGCCCUGUCUUCACAUUUUGCUGUUCGUUGAACCGUUUUCUUGGAGGCCUCUGCUGUCUCACAUCUAUUGUUAAAUUUAUUUCUUUUGAAUAAAUGAAGUGGGUAAUUUAUACUUUUUUUCUCAAAAAAAUUAAUCAGAUCUACCGCUUGUAAUAACUGAAUUGAUACACAAUCUUAGGCAAUUUACGGAAAAAAAAAAAAGGAUGUUCUUUUUGUCUCAGUUUCACAAACCUUCCUUUCUCUUUGGUGGAUCUUGACUUUUGUAAUUCACUAGAGCAUCUGUCACCAACCUCGAGGCCUGUUAGUUUGCCCGUAAUUAAUUUUCAAGUUAAAUAUGAUUUUUCAUGGAACUGAAGUUCAAAUAAAAAUUAUUUUUCAACCAUUAAAAGUCAGUGAUUUGAAACUGUAGUUAUCAUAUACUUUAUUUGUUUAUUUUAUUGGAAAUUUUUUACAUUAGCACAUUGAAAGAUAAAUUAAAGUUUUAAAUGUCGAAUUAAAAAUUUUCAAAUGUCGCUAGAUCAUGCGGCGAUUAACAAUAUAUGCGGCUAAUUUAUCCUACUUAGCAGCAUAAAUGUUAAAAUGUUGAUAAAAUUUUAUAUUUGGCAGUAUAUAAUGAAUAAUAUUGCUACAUACUAAAUUUAGCAGGAUAUAGGGGGUGUUUGCUUUGGCCUGAAACGAGGCUGAAAAUUAUUUGAAAAAUGCUUUUUCGCUCGCUUGAUUCCAUGUUUACGGAUUUGAUAAAAGAAAUGAAGUUUUCAUUUUUUCACUAUUUUCACAAUUUUUCGGCGAAAAAUCAAAACCAAGCCGCCUAAAAUUUUUUCAAUUAUUUUUUCCUACCAAAUCAAACAAAUUUUUUUUUUUUUUUUUCCUUUCAACCAAACAAAUGGCGAUGAAAAGUAAUUUUUUUUCCUACAAAAUAUUAAAAAAAAAAUUUCACCAAAAAUAUUUUUUAUGAAAAAAUAUUUUUUUAUAAAUUUACGUUAGAUUAACCCGACCCUUAAUCAAAUGUCGCUAGUUUUCUGCUGCUGCGUUGACUGAAAACAUAAAAAAAAAAAAAAGAUGGUUUCUAACAAAUUUGAAUAAUUGAAUCCAAACAGUCAUCCAAUAAAUCUAUUGAUCCCGUCAAAAUCUGCUUAUAUCUUCACUCCUACGAAAAGUAAACACUAUAAACAGCUUUUCAUCUUUUUGAAACAACAAAACAGGAUGAAAGAGUGAAUCAUUCUCAAAUUCAAAAAUAAACUUAGCUGGAAAUAUAAAUCAACUAGCAUUCGAACUUGGGACCUCGGGUACCAACCACCAAGCCCUUUGCCACUUGUUCUAACGACGGUCGGUAUUUCUUAUAAUUUUUCAGUAUAAAUUUUUAGAUUAUUUCAAUCAAACACCAUAGUCAAGUUUAAUUAACUAACUAAACGCUGACAUGUUGUAAACGUGGUGACACUUUAGUCAUUUUAAUCAUAUCAACCACAAUAUUAGUGUAUCGCUACCUUAUCGAUGACAUUGAUAAAUCACUAUUCAGUCAACUUAAAUUGCAUGUUUUUGAAUCGCUACCUUUUCAUUGUUUGAGCUCAAUUACAAUAAUGUAAAAAAUUAUAAUAAACUAAAACUUAAGAAUUAAAAUGCCAUACAUCGCUUAAGCGAGUUUAAGCAUCAAAAAUUAAAUUUAGCCUUUGGGUCACCUGUAUUUCAAUGGAUAAAAUGCACAGAGACCAUCUGAACUUUAGUACGUUGGCAAAUAAGCAUCUGAAUUUUUAAUCCUGACAGUUAUAUUUUUCUAAACUUUAUUAAAUUAUAUGAAAUAUAUAUGAACAAAACGAUUGGGAAAUUUACAACUUUAAUUAAGUUGAGAGACAUAUUGAACUAUUUGAUAAAGUUCAGAAAAUAUAAUUACCAAAAUUGAAGGUUAAUGCGUCUAUUUACAGAAAAGCUUUUGUUCCGAUGGCCUCUAUACAUUUUACUGAAUUCCAAACACAAAAAUUUCUGUUUAUAUACUUCAAAAGAGGGUAUAGAUCUUACAUUUCUUAUUCUAAAGUUUACAAAAAUUUAAAAAAUUAAUAUGACAAAUAAAAUAAAAUAACUCUUGAAUAAAUAGAAAAUAUAUAUAUAUAUAUAUAUAUAUAUAUAUAUAUAUAUAUAUAUAUAUAUAUAUAACUUAUAUGAAUUUCUAAUAUUUUUGCCACAUGACAAGUUUUCUUUUAACCUCACUAGCCUUUUUUUUGAACUGACAUUUGCUCUUAACUUUUCCUCUCCCCUCUUUUCUAUUUGAUGACCUGUAAUCAAUGUGCUCUUUAAUUUAUACAUUCCUUUCUUUUUUCCUCUUUAAUAUUGAUCAUUUUUUCUCCCUCAAACCUUUUCUCAAUGUCCAACUCUUCACCUCUCCAGUCCUUUAAUUAUAUGCACACCAUAUUCCACCAAUAAGUGGGCUUUUAACUUCAAUCCACUCCUCACCUCCAUUAACCCCCCCGCUCCCUCUCUUUUGCAUCACCUGUUAUUUUCUAUGCAAAACAGAAUAUCUUCAUCUAAUCUCCCACCUAACACUCAUUUCCCUCUCUUUUAUUGUGUUAACGAAGAUGAUGAGGACGAUGAAGAAGAAGAAGAAGAAGAGAAUACCAAAAACGUUAUCUCCUUCGAGAAGUAUUGUCCCGCGAAGUCGAGCCACAGCCUAUAUAAAUGCCCGCUGGGCCGUUCUGCGCCGGGGCCCCCGCUCACCGUGAAUUGCUGCCGCCUCAGCUGCCUCCUCACGUGGCUCGCGCGUGCCCACAACUCAGCCGAGGUGAGCAACUUCCUAAGGCUCCUCUUCAAGGGGACGCUGCGCGAGAGCUCGCUUCUUGAGGAUCGCAGAAACUUCUUGAUAAAUCCAAAUUGUUUGAGAAUUAGGGUUUCUGUGAUUGAUGUAAUGGCAAGGUUGUGUCAAUUUAGAUAUCGCAAUUUGGUAAUGUAGAUGAGGUGUUUGUUCAUAUUUCGCAAUGAAUAUCCAGAAGCGACUCGGUGCGGGGAGUAACUAUCAACUAAAAAUUAAAAAAAUGUAUGAGAUUUGGAUGAACAAGUCGCGUGGAUGAAGAAGUGCUCCGAAAAAUUAUUAGUUUUUUUAAUUAAUGUUUUUGUUUUAUUUUUAUCCCAUGUCCAUUUUUUUGAGUAGACACUGUUGUGGGCAAAGUUCCUUUCGUAGAUUAAAAGGUAUCAUGUGGAGACUGGAGCUUGUGAUUCCACACAAAAUUUUCUUAAGCCAGAUAUGUUGACUUAUUAUUUAUAUGUUUCAUAUCCUUAAUCUGUUUUAAUGCUUGGACAGAGGUGCUUAAUUCAAUUGAAGCUAGCUCUUAUUUAUCUUUCACAACGAAAUGUUCAAGAGGCACAAAAUGCGAUAAAAUCGUAUGUCACUUACUAUAUUUCAAUAAUUUUUAAAAAAAUUAUGUAAGUUUCUAGUUAUAAUUUUAUUUUUUUAACAAUUAAAUUUAGCCAUACAAAUUGACUCAGCUUAACAUGAUAUAAUUUUUUAUACAUCAAUAAGCUGUAAAUAUAAAUUUUAUUAAAAUUUUAAAAUUUUAAUUUUUUUUUUUUUUUUUUUGAGAACUAGGUAGCAAGCUACCUGCUUCAUUCAUUAAGUAAAAUGAACUAGGCAUACAUGAUGGAAGCAACUAGGGCCUCCAAACCGAGCCGACAAAACAAAAAAGCAGGAAAAUGGCGAAAAACAGAUCCGUAAAAACGGGAAGCGUAAAACCGAAGAAACAGAGGAAAACAGAGGAAAACGAGGAAAACAUGAGUAAAAGGGCGAAGAGAAUAAGACUAAAGGUAUAUCUCAGAUUUCGAAAACGUCAGUCCAGUCUUUGAUCAGAGCGCCGACUCGUUCCAGAGCACGGGAGGCGUCGGGAGACCCAUCGCAGAAGAUGAUCCUGUUUCGCUCCGUCCAAACGACUCACCAGAUUGUCGCAAGCUGUGUUAAACCGUUCGAUCUCGCUCGGUUGUUUAUGCUGUCGGAGAUUUGUGCCCAUAACCGCCGAACAUCCCCCGCGUCCAAAUCGGCCGUCACAAUAACCCCCGUUUCAAGUCGGAGAUACCUAACAAAGAUACAUUCUCCGAACAGGUGGUCGCAGCUUUCGAGUAUUGACCCACACAACAUGCAAUGCUGAUCUACCGAAAUCCCCCCACGAAUCAAUCUAUCCGCUGUAAGCAACCUCUUGCGCAAUAAAAUCCAGAUGAAAAUUUUUUGCUUGAGCAGAAUUUUUAACCCCCAAAGAUGAUCGUACAGAGGAUCAAUCUGCCCUGCAUCUGUGACGAAAUCAUAAAGGGAUUUAACAGUAAAAUUCUGAUUGGCGGUCCAUCGCCACUUUAGUAUAUCGUGUAAACCGGAAGGGCUAUACGGAUUCAGGAGGUUUUUGAGCGACGUGAUAAGUUGACGAUCCUGAGAGGUAAUAUUUGUAGCGAGGCAUCUAGUUAUGAAACGCCAUCUCCACCCUCUUUCGCUCCAGCAUUGUGACACUGUGGCCUCCUAAUUGAUGAUUUUAUCAAAUAAUACCGAAAACCUGGUACUUAGAGGGGUUUCUUCGAUCCAAAUGUCCGACCACCACCUGAUGUUUUUCCCAUCUCCAAGUACAUACGAAACUCCACAUUUGAACACUUCACGACAGCUCAUCACGCUUCUCCACCACUGCGAGUAAGGUCUGAAGGAUCUUCCCUCAUUUAGCAGUCUUCGUCUGGUGUAAUACAAUGCUGUGACCAAUCUCCUCCAUAGUAGGUGUCUCUCAUUGAAAAAUCGCCACCACCAUUUAGUUAGCAGCGCCUUAUUCAUAGCUUCCAUAUCUUUAAUCCCCAGACCCCCUUCUCUUUUGCUUUUGCAUAUUAUUUUCCAGCUGACUAGGCAAGAGCCGCCUGAAAUAUUGGAGCACCCUUUCCAAAAGAAGGCUCGUCUAAGGGCUUCUAUCCGGUUCAAAACCCAUUGUGACGCUUUAAAAAUAGCGAAGUAGAACAGCGGGAGAUUUGAAAGUACCGAGUUGACUAGGAUGACUCUUCCGCCAUGUGAUAGUAGUUUUGCCUUCCAACCUUCAAUGCGCAUCUCUAUACGGUUAAUGAUCGGAGCCCAAUCUUUUUUACGGAGGGGGCUGAUAUGUAGUGGUAAGCCCAAGUAGCGGAAUGGUAGCUUACCUACUCCACACCCCAAAAUAUCAGCAAGUCUCUUGGCUCUGUUUUCGUUGGUUCCCAAGUAGUAGAGCUCCGUCUUAUUAGUAUUAAUCUUAAGGCCAGAGGCCCAUUCAAACAGCUUCCAGAGAAAGAGUAAGUUACUCAUGGCGGACUUUUUGGGCUCUGAAAAGAAUAAAGUAUCGUCCGCAUACUGAAGGAUCGUCGUUUGACAUUCGACGGUCGGUCCAAUCCCCUGAAUCAAGUUAUUUCCCCUAGCUGCUUCCGUGAUCCUAGCCAAACAGUCAGCAACCAGUAAGAAUAAGUAGGGAGAGAGCGGGUCCCCUUGUCUCAGCCCCUUCCUAGUUUUCAACCACCUUGUCGGUUCUCCAUUUACUAAAAUAGCUAUUUUAGCAUUGCAGAUACACUAUUCGAUCCAGUUCCACCAUUUCUCACUGAACCCAAGCCAUCGUAGAAUACUUUGCAGGAAGCUCCAUCUCACGUUGUCGUAAGCUUUCUCGAAAUCCACCUUAAUGCUGACACACUCCUUCCCAGAUUUUGCGCACCAGUUGAGUAAUUCACUUGCUGUGACGAAAGAGUCAGCUAGUAGUCGAUCCUUCAGAAAAGCCGCUUGUGACGAAGAGAUGAUCAUUGGCAAAAUGGUCGCGAUUCUAUUCGCGAGCACUUUAGAGAUGAUCUUCUGAAUUCCAUUCAUUAGGCAAAUCGGUCGAAAGUCGUUAGCAUGGCAUGCGCCUUCCUUUUUGGGAAUUAAACAUACGUAAGGGUAGUCUGUUGGGGCCGUGAAGAGGUUGUUCUCCUGCAGGUCUGUGAAGAUAUUAGAUAUAAUGUCCUUGACCGUCUCCCAAAAGUAUUGGAAAAAAAUGAGUGGGAAGCCAUCGGGGCCGGGUGCCUUUUCACUACCCAGUUGGAAGGUAGCCUUUUUAAUUUCGUCGAUAGUAAAUGGACCCGUAAGGGAAUCCGGGUCAAUAAUGAAGUCCGCUCGAUACAGGUUGGCCCAAUCUCCAAAAGAGGCAGGCUCUGCUUCAUCACUCCCAAACAGACGUUUGAAGGUGUGAAAAAAAUAGGAAUUCUUUAUAGCUUCAUUGUGAAUUUGUUCUCCAUUAUCAUCUACUAUAUGAUGUAUCGCAUUGCAACGCUUCCGACCAUUGGCCACUGCAUGAAAAAAUUUUGUAUUACAAUCACCUUCCUUGAGCCAGUGCUACUUCGCUCUCGUUUUCCAAAGGAUUUCUUCCUCCUUAAGAAUGAGCUGAAGUUGAGCUUUAAGGUUGACCCGUUUAUCUCGUACGUCCGGCGGCAGUGUAUCUCGUUCCUCUAACUGGUCGAUACUGCGUAUUUCCUCCUGUAUGCUCCUUAUAGUGUUGGAUAUACUAUGAAAUUUCGUCGUACACCACUCUUUCAUCCUGUUUCUACAAUGCCUCAGUUUAGCCGUUAGAGUAAGGAUAGCUGACCUCUCACUGGUAACUUCGUUCCACCAGAUAGGUACGCUGAUGGAGAAGCCCUCCCUAGAGAGCCAAACUCUCUCGAACCGAAACCUCCGCGUAGAGCAAAAACCUCCUAAGUUGAGAAUUAGUAGUGUAUGGUCAGAUGUGAUUCUGGGUAACGCAGAAACCCUGCAAUGCAGGAAUUCUUGAUCCUACUCUGUCGAGAUUAAAAAUCUAUCUAGCUUGGCCAAGGUCGGCGAGUGUUGCAUAUUUGACCAAGUGAAGUUUUGGUUGGAAAUGGGCAGAUCCAUGACUGCGAGAUUCGCUAUGAGGUCGGAGAACAUGUUCAUCGCUCUAGUGCUCCACAUAUGUCCAGUACGUUCGAGCUGGUUUCUAGUAAAAUUGAAGUCCCCACAUAUCACCCAGCUAGUGUUAGAGCAUAUCACACUGAGAGAAAGGAGUUCAGAACAAAAUUCUUCUUUUCCUUCCCAAGUCGGUGGUCCAUACACGUUCGAAAGGUAAAAACCCCUUCCGCUGUUAAUAUGUUUCAAGUUGAGGGUGAGCGAGCGAUCUCGAAUUACAACUUCGGUACAAACGAAGAAUUUGGAAUUCCAGCAAGUGAUUAAGCCCCCCGAAGCACCGGUUGUCGGAAUAAAGUGGCAUCUGUCGAAACUCGACCCACAGCAAGAACGAAGGAACGAGCGAGACACGGAACAGACCUUAGAUUCUUGGAUACAGAUGACGGACCCAAAAAAUUUUGAGAUACAAGACCUGACACAACGACGCUUACAAGGGUCGUUCAGACCGCAAACAUUCCAAGUGAUAAUACUAAACAUAAGAAAAGCAACACACAAACAAAAGGCGACCGCGGCUCUCAGCAAGACACACAAAAGGCGGCCCAAGCACAAAGCAUUGCACACUGUGGAUCAGCCACGCAGCAAGAACUUGUGUAACUCCUCAGCUUCGACCCCCGAGAGCUUCACACCACACUGAGCCCCUUUCAUCAAAACCUUUUUGCUGUCCCAUUGACGCGGUAAGGACGUCGCACCAGAGGUCUUUCCUUCCAGAAGGAACACUUUCCGAAGUUUCGCCCGCUCGAGCAUCGAAACCUUCCGAGCAGAGUCGAACCUUGCACUAGAUCUGGUUGCCCCAAUCGAAACGCUCGGGGAAGCCUCCACCUUUCCGAGCAUUGGUACAGUAUCAGGGGCAUGGGUUACCAUGUCCCCUCCGCAGGGCUCGGGCAACCGACCGACAGGCGCCGAGAUCCCACUGAGGGUGAGCUCCAACGAACCAUCCCGAAUAGCCGGGCCGCUACCCCCCGAAGCGAAGAUGGAGAGAGGUCCAAGUGGGCUAUCUUGACAGGAAGCCCCAAGAGUAGCAGAAGUGUUGUUGAGGGUGGGCUCGUGAGAAGCAAGACUGGAGGCCGGCCUGAAACUCAGCUCAAAACACAUCUCUUCAGGCUCCGCAACCAACCCUCCGACCGCCGCCGAUAGGGCCCACACAGAUAGAGAGAGCAAGGUUGAGGUAGCUACCAAUGGGCGGCCCUAGCGUUGGCUCGUCGAACGCCGCACUAGACCCACGGCCUCCCGUCUUCAGACCCUGGAGAGAGAGAGGUACCUCCGAAGGAGAUGGGAGGCCCGCGUGACGAGUGGAACGAUCAGGUCCCUCAGUUAAGUCACCAAGGAGGCCCAAGUGGCAAAAGGAUCCGGCAAAAGAGAAAAAGAGAGGCCCCCACCGCAACCCGACAAUGAGAGGCUCCCACCGCAACCCAACAAAAGGCCCAGUUCCAAGUACAUCCAGUGGACCCCUCCGCUCUGCAAAGAGACUGUUCCCCAACUCGGGCCCAAACCCCAAGCAAGCUGACUCGGGGGCUGAUCCUGAGUGGGUCCGUUGCCAGCAAAAGCCAAUGAUCGGCCCGGAGCUCGAGGCAGAUGAGCAGAUCUUAGAAAUAAAGGACCCCCGAUUCUCCCAGCUGGAGGACAUAACUCGACGGCCCAACUUUGCAUUAAUUCUAUGCUCCAGAAUCCAACUCGAAGACCUAGAAUCAAGAGAAAAAUCUUUUCCAGUAUGCUCCGCACCGAAACCGCCUGCCACCUUGCUACUACUGCACCCACCCACCGUCAAGAUGCUACCGCCCCCUUCCACAAGAGGUAAAACAUUAAAUGCGCCGUCAAUAUCAACUAAAUUUGAAUUCCAGUCCAUUGUACCCCGCUUUCCGAUGAUCACCGGACCCUUCCUGGUCGAUACCUCCUCGGGCUGCCGUUUGGAGUUGACCGAAGAGGGGGGUAAAUUUCGCCGUGGCGAACAAUCAGGAGACGAAACGCACCUCCUCCUAUCCCGGAUUUCGGACGAAUUCCAAGACGCAUCCGAGCUUGAAGAGCCGGCCGACGAACGUCUCUCUCUAAUAGAACCGGCUAAGCGAUAGUUCGGUGCGGGGUCACUCCGCAGAGGGUCGUGCUGAUCCGUCCUCUCGUUCGGUGGAUUGGCAGGAGCGGCAACGUCGCGACGGCCCCAUCUUUCGAGCUGGAUGAGCACCGAGAGCAUGUAAUCGCCCACCGUAAUUUUCAAGUUUUCCGGAAUAUCGGAGAGAAAGUUCACCGCAACGAGACACCGAUAUCCUGUGAGAUCCACCAUACAAAUCGAGAAAUCAUCCGCCCGUAUGAACCUGCCGAACCCACCAACUAGCGCCGCCACCGUUCGGGAGGACCAACACUCGUAAGGUAAGCAAACCAGGCGGAUCCACACAUUGUAUGUAAGUGAAGCCCUUCGUAGCCCAGAAUAAGGAUUCCAGGGAAAACACUGCAACCUGUGGUCCUCCAGCGACAGGAUCUCUCUACGGAUUAAUUGAUCCGCCGGCACCCACUCCGGCAGAAAAAUCACAAAGUCGCGUUGGUUGAACUUGGCAACAUGAAAGUCCGACGGAAAUCCGCCGAAGCGACUCGCCAUUCUGUUGGCUAUCGUCUCUUAAGGGAAGUGACCAAGCUUCUUAGGCGGGAGAACAUCUACCAAGAUGGCGUUGCGACAGUGAUUCUGUCUGGAGAAGAGGUCGUCCGUCUAGGGGACAAAUGCACUGAGGUAGGAAGGUCUGGCCCGCAUCGCCCUGUCUGCCGCCAUCGGCAGCCGAUCCAUACAGCCUCUAGCGACGUGGCCCGCCUUAAAGCACCGCACACACCUCAGGGGCCCGCGACAGGUGGAUGCCCAGUGGUUGGUACCCAGACACCGGUAGCACCUUCCCUUGAAAGAAGUAAAGGCAGGGCUGCAUCGCCGGCAUCACUACACUAAUUAUUAAUUAAUCUUUCCAUAUCAUCCCGCCUACCUGGUUGGCCGGACAUCCCACCUUACAUUUACACGAGCCGACGGUACAACAACAUGAUGGCUUUGUGGGACCCGCACACUUACCAACCAACCAACCAUUGAUUGAUUUUUUUCAUGAACUGCAACUCCCAACGACCCCACCGUUCAUUUCUAUAAUAAUAGGGAUUUCUCAGGAGCAAUCCAAGAAAGGUACCGAUUCCUCUCACCAAAACCACAAUAAAGCACAAAAAAAGAUCCCAGCAACAAAAGCAAUCAAAAUGGGUAAAUUGCAGACCUAGUCCCUGUGAGUGUUUAUUAAAUUCAUAUGUGGUUUAAAAUUUUGUGUUGUCCUUAUGGGCCCCUUGGAUUGUCAAAAUCAAAUAGAUUUUAUCCGAAAGCUUUGUGCAUCAUUUACUAUAGGUGAGUUUAGUCCUAAACAGAAAAUUAAUGAAAUGUACUAGCGCUUUAUAUUCUCCUGUAUCUCCAAAUGACAUGUUUAGGUGAUAAUCAGAGUGGUGUCAUGUACUAAUCACACAUGCGCAAUGCACAGCACGAGUAUGAAUCCAGUUUAAGUAACGUGGCAUGGAAUCGUAUCGAAAGUAUGCCAGUAUGGUACAGCUCGCUAUAAUUAGUAUAAGAACUAUGUUGCACCAUUAUUUUUUUGGCAUGAUAUGGCACGAUAAUACAAACCAUAUCGAAUGGACACUCAAAUCCUUGCUAAGCUGUAAGUCCAAAAAUGAGCGGUCCAUAAUUUAUCCAAUCAAAAAUAGAGCCCACUUGUUUCCUCCUUUAUCGAUUAUAAUGACCAGAAUUAAAAUAGCAUUUUAUAGCCUUAUAGGAAUUACUUGUGAGCAACUCAAAAAAAGAGACCAAACACCUUCACCAAAUGCAUCUCAAAAAACAUAAAAAUGAGUCCGCAACAGCAGCAAUCGAAAUUAUACUUCACAGGCAUGUCCUUCUUGGGCAAUGCUAACUUUACAAUAUAUAGCUAGGCUGGUAUACUAUCGGUAGCACGGAGGCCUCCGUGCUACCAAGUUGUUUUCAAUGAUGCGGCUUCCAAAUGGACGAUCGGCUCCGUUAGACUUGAUCUACACUAUUAAAAGUAUUUGGAAACCAAAUUUCAUAAUUUUUCAGCAUCAUUUACCUAUCAAACGAGUAGUCUAAAAAUAAACGGCUGAAAAUAAAAAUCUCAUAAAAAAUAAUAAUAAAAGACUUGAAUUUAAGAUCAGAGAUAUUGAUCUUACUUUAAAUAGUGAAAAGAAUUUUCUAUAAAAAUUUCAUCAGAUUUGGAUUGUUUUACACCGUUAAAUUCACAAACUCAUCACAUCUACCAUUAAAAUUGUCAAUUUUGAGACCUUUUGAUCACUAGCGAAAUGAUGCCGAAAAAUUAUGAAAUUUAGUUUCCAAAUACUUUAAAGAGUAUAGAUCAAGUCUAACGGAGCCGAUCGUCGAUUUGGAAGCCGCAUCAUUGAAAACAACUUGGUAGCACGGAGGCCUCCGUGCUACCGAUAGUAUACCAGCCUAGCUCUAUAUAUAUAUAUAUAGAGAGAGAAAGAGACAGAGAGAGAGAGAGAGUGUGUGGCUAUGGUUUUUGUAAAAGCACAAAGCACUUGGUACUUGUAAAUAUUUUACCGUUAGAUCUACGUUUUUUAUUAUUUUCACUCGUUAGAUAUACUUUCAAUCAACCACCCACUCAAUCUUAGGGAGCCCACAUCAUUCUAAUCGCUCAUCUCUUAAUUCAAUGGCUAAAAAUCUACAAGUAGCAAUAACUUAGUACUUUUAAAAGUAUAGGAGCUCAAUUUUAUAUAUAUAUAUAUAUAUAGGAGUUUGAUUGGACUACUAUCGGCAGUAAACUGCUCGGUUUUCUACCGAGUUGUUUUUUAUGAUAGAGCUUCCAAAUCGACGAUCGGCACCGUUGAACAUGAUCUAGACCAUUUAAAUUAUUUAGAAAUCAAAUUUCAUGAUUUUUUGGCAUCACUAACUGAACGAUCAAAGGGUCACAAAAUCUAUAAUUUUAAUGGCCGAUAUGGUGCGUUUGCUCAUUUAACGGUAUAGAAGAGUUCAAAUCAACUGAAUUUUUGUUAAAAAUUUUUUUAAACUAUUUAAAACAAGAUCUAGACUCUAGAUCUAAAAUAUAAAAAUUGUAUCAUCACUUUUUGAAGGAUAUUCAUUUCCAGCCAUUCAUUUUUCUGUUCACUUGAUGGACAAGAGAACAAUAUCGAAAAUGUGUGAAAUUUGAUUUUUCGAUAGUUUAAAUAGUUUAGAUCAUGUUUAACGGUGCCGAUCAUCAAUUUGGAAGCUCUAUCAUCGAAAACAAAUCAGUAGUAAACCGAGUCGUUUACUACCGAUAGUAUUCUAGCAAAAAGUAUAUAUAUAAUUGAGCUCGUAUGCUUUUAAAAGUACCAAGUUAUUGCUACUUGUAGAUUUUUAGCCAUUGAAUUAAGAGAUGAGCGAUUAGAAUGAUGUGGGCUUCCUAAGGUUGAGUGGGUGGUUGAUUGAAAGUAUCACCAUCAUGGUCCUAUUAGGUUUUAAGCCAUUGGAUUUACUUUUUGAUUAUUAAUAGCCCUUGGAUUAAACACUAUUCCACCUACCACCACCUACCACCUUCAUCUCAACCUCACAUCUCUCCAUCCAAGGGCUAAAAACACACAAGUAUCACCCCCAUGAUACUUUUACAAGUAUUCUAGCCCUACUAUAUAUAUAUAUAUAUAUAUAUAUAUAUAUAUAUAUAUAUAUAAUCUAGCUACUAUCCUAUUAAUAGGAUAGAGACCAUCAUCCUAUCAAGUCGUUUUUGAUGAUAGAGAUGCCGAAUCGAUGAUCGGAACCAUUAAAAUUGUUCUAGAGUAUUUGAAAUAUCUAGAAAUUAAAUUUUAGAAAUUUUAAAAAUCAUUUACAUGGUGAUCAAAGGAUUGUAAAAUCGACAAUUUUUGACGGCCUAUAUGAGCCGUUUGUUUGUUUAACGGUGUAGAGCAAUCCGAACUGCUUGAAUUUUUCAUAAAAAAAGUUUUUAUACUAUUUAGAUAAUAUUUAAUAAUUCUGAUCAUGAUUUGAGAAAGUCUAACCUCUAUUUUAAGAAGGUUAUUCGUUUAUGACCGUUCAUUUUUUCGACUCUUCGAUAGACUUGAUAAUGAUUUUUAAAAAUUACAAAAUUCGAUUUUUAAAUAUUACUUAUAGUGUAGAUCAAUUUCAACGGUGUUGAUUAUCAAUUUGGACUGUUGAUCAUUCAAAACGACUUGAUAGGACAAUGGUCCCAAUCCUAUUAAUAGAAUAAUACCCGGACUCUAUAUAUAUAUAUGGUUAAGCUAGUUAGAAUACUAUCGGUAGCAAAUAGACUCCGUUGUCAUUCAUUUAUUUUCGAUAAUAGAGCCUCUAAAUCGACGAUCGGCACCGUUAAGCAUAAUCUAUACCACUUGAAGUAUCUAGAAACUAAAUUUCAAUUCUUUUCAACAUCAUUCACCUAACGAUCAAAGGAUUUCAAAAUUUGUAAUUUUAAUGGUCGAUAUGAAGCGUUUUCUUAUUUAACAGUGUAAAGAUGUCCAAAUUAAUUGAAUUUUGGUUAGAAAAUUUUUUAAACUAUUUAGAAGAAGAUCUAUACAAUCGAUCCUCAUUACAAGAUUCGUAUCAUUACUUUUUAAAAAAUUUUCAUUUUCAACCAUUCAAUUUGUGUCCUUUUGAUGAACAAGAGAACAAUACCGAAAGAGUAUGAAAUUUGAUUUUUAAAUGUUUCAAGUGGUAUAGAUUAUGUUCAACGGUGCCGAUCGUCAAUUUUGAGCUUCCAUCAUCGAAAACAAAUGAAUGACAAUGGAGCCAGUUUGCUAUUAAUAGCAUUUUAGCUCAACUCUAUAUAUAUACUGAAUUAUGAAACAUUUUGAAUCAGCUAUCCUAUUUUUCAAAAAUUUAAAUUUACUAUUCAACUUUUCAAUUUAUUAAUUUAAAGCGAUCGAUGGUAUUACUUUAAUAAAUUCAUUGAUGUUUCCUUUUUUUUUGACCAAUUUGCAUAAAAAUCCACAAGUUUUGAGCUUUUAGUAAACCCGGCCGUUUUUUUCAAUUUUGCAGAUUUGGUCUGAAUUUUCAGCAAACUGACCAAAAUACCCUUAUACUCUUUUCUCUCUCCUUUUUUUUCUCACGUUCUUUUUUUUCUCGCCGAAAAAGGCGGCGGAGGCAGAGGUGGAAACGGCUCGCCUAGCCUCUGCCCCUCAUGCCCUCGCCCUGGCUCGCACACCCUGCGCCCUCUUUGCCUCCGACCCUGCCGAGGCCGCGUCGCGACCCUCUUUUUUUUCUCUCUCCGACCCUACUCCACUGCCUCUGUGGCCUUCCGCGACGAUAGCGAGGACUGUACCACGUUCUCUUCCUCCGCUUUCGCCCUCCACCUCCACUGCAAUAGAUUUUUUCUACCCGCUAAACAAACCCGCCGUCCCAACCCGUUGCUGCCGGCGACGAAUAGGAAGUGCUUCUCGGAGCCGAAAAACACAUCGGCGAGGGAGGAAGAGAAAAAUAGUUACUCUAGCAAGAGCAGUGACUGCGGUAGAGGGUAAGGGAAAGGUUGUGACCAAAAAAAAUCAGAGAGAGAAAAAAAUAUAAAAAAAAUAUAAAAAAAAUAUUUUUUUCCUAUCGAAAGAGCAAAAAUUAUAGAAGAAUGAAGAAAAAGAUAAAAUUGUACAAUUAAAAUAAAAUUACACUAUUUUAAAAAAUGUUUGCGCUGUUUUAAAUAAAAGUUGCACUCUUUAAAAUAAAAAUUAUAUUUCUUGGGAUGAAAGUUACACUCUUUAGACGAAAGCUGCACUCUUUGAAUGAAAUUUAUACUAUUUCUUUGUCUCUUUUUCUCGUCCUCCUCCUUCCCCUCCGCUUUUGCGUAAGCGAGUGCCUCGAUGUUGAGGUGCUCGUACCACACCUCGAUCGUCGGGAAAUCGAGUCCAACUCUGAAGAUUCAUAGAGGAAUUUCAUCAAAUAUAUGUUGGGCUUCAUCAAAACAUAAUUGUGACAACAUAAUCUAUGGGAUGGUAACUCCCACUGGGGUGGGUCCUUAGCCUUAUUAAGCAGUUUCAAUUUGCUCCUAGGACUUAAGGAUUCAUAGUUAAACAUAACCAAAAUCUAAGUAAAAUCAGUUAAUGGAUCAAAAUGAUAAAAGAAAAAAUUGUAGAACUUCUCACCGGUCGAUCCGACCCUUGAGCUUCAAUAGAAACCUCUUGUUAUCCUCCUCUGUGACUCGAACAAGCCUCUCGAGCAACUUCUUCUUCUCCUGGAAACCCAAGCUGUCGAUGUCGAUCUCUUUGCGGAUCCCCUCAUCAAAAAAGAUCCCAUUGUGCACCCGGUUGUAGGUUGGCAGCUUCUCAAGUGCCGCAUACUUGAGGGCCUCCACGUCGUCCUUGUCGCGCGACGACAUCGAGAAGACGUCGUCCCCCGCCGAAAGAUGGACGAGCUCACGCCGCGCUGGAAGAUAGACGAGCUGUUCAUCCGCAGGCUCACAAUCCCUACCUUUCUAUGCCCAACUCCAUAUCGAAUCUUUACUACUUCAACCCAAAGGAGAUCAACUUAAACACCCCAAAAAAAGUUUUUUUUUUUUUUUUGUCUCAUUUUUUUGAUAUUUUGAAGCUAUAAGGAUUGAAUUGAAGAGGUUCUCUUUACUCUCUCUAAGGUGAGAAAGAGAUCAAAACAAAAGAAAUCGGGUUUUUUCCUCUCUCUACUCUUCUCUCUCGAAACAAGGCGAUUUCAAGCAAAAGAGGGAUCAAAUUUGAAGGAGAUUAAUAAAAAUUGCAAAAAAAAUUUGCAAAGAAUACAACUUUCACCCAAAGGGUCGAAUGAGGAGGAAGAAGAAGAAAAGAAUAAAAAAUAAUAUAAAUUUCAUCCAAAAGUGCAACUUUUAUCUAAACAGUGUAACUCUCAUUUUAAAGAGUAUAAUUUGUCUCAAAUAGUACAACUUUCGUUUAAAACAGUACAAAAUUUUUUUAAAACAGUAUAACUUUAUUUUAACAAUACAAUUUCAUAUUUUUCUUCCUUUUUCUAUAAUUUUUAAUUUUUUUUGUAAAAAAAAAUAUUUUUAUUAUUUUUAUUAUUUAUUUUUUUCUCUCUAUAAUUGUUUGGUCACGACCUCUCCCUUAUCCUCUAUAUUGGUGUUUAACUAUUUUUCUCUUGUGUAACUAUUUUUUUCUUCCUCCCUCGCCUGCGAGCUUUUCGAUCCUAAGAAGCACUCUCUCUUCGUCGCCUCUUCGCUUUUCGGUCCUAAGAAGCACUCUCUCUUCGUCGCCUCUUCGUCGCGAGCAACGACAGUGAGGACAACAGGUUUGUUUGGCCGAUAAAAAAUCUGUUAUAGUGAAGGUUGAGGAUAAAGGCGGAGAAAGAGGACGCUAUACACGGCCUUACUAUCGUCACGGAGGAGAUAGAAGAGGAGAUAGAAGAGGGGCGGAGAGAGGAGAAAAAAAAAAAAGAUUGCAACACGGCUUAAACGAGGUCGGAUGCGAGGAGGGCGGGGGGUGCAAGGGGGAGGGCAAGGGCGUGAGGGACAGAGGUGCCCGUGUCUAACUUCUUCGGAGAGAAAAAAAAAAAAUACGAGAAAAAAAAUAUAUAUAUAUAUAUAAAUAUUUUAAUUAGUUUGCUAAAAGUUCGGACCGAAUCUGUAAAAUCGAAAAAGAACACCCAAUUUUGCAAAAUUUCAAAACUUUAGAAUUUUUUAUACAAAUUGGUCUCUCUACUUCGAUAAUUAAUAAGCUAAACCAAGAAAACAUACCAAGCACGUUCACCAAAACCACCUUAAAAUAAAAAAAAAAUCCUUUUAAUUUUCCCUAUUUUAGUCCUCAAACAAAAAAAAAAAAAGGGAAAAUACUUCCACAACAAAAGCAAUAAUCGAAUAGAUCUAAACAAAUUAUAUUUGCAGCUAACAAAAACGGCAGCUACAUCACGCUACCAAUCAUCGUCACAAUAUAACCCUUACAAAUUACCACAACAAUGAUGAUAACAAUAAUUAUAACGAAAACAUCGAUCAAGUUCACACCUUGGCGUAUUAAUCAAGAGAAAAAUUUGGGGGAAAAAAAUUCAUAUUUUUGAGUAAAUCAUUAGGGUUCUAAUUCUCUCUCUCGCACUCACUCUCCUCUUUUAAGCAGCGGCUCCCGUAACAGAAGAACGAACACUUGACGGCGUUACCUCACGGCGCGCCGCUAUCGGUGCGCCGUCACCAGCGUCUCGAUGAAGCGCAACCCGUCGAAUCGCGGCGCGAACUUCUCCUCCCCCUUCGUCGUCGUCGUCAUCUUCUUCUUCUUCAACGAUCCCGAAUCCACCGAUCGCAUCAUUCUCGAUCCCUGCUCCUCCUCCACCUUUUUCGCCUCCCUCCCCUUCGAUCCCUGCACACAAAUCGCCCAAAUCCAUGAGAAAGCGAAGAGAAUUACGGAUUAAAUUGAGAUCUCGAUCUCGGACGAGGGUUUACCUCGAAGAAGGCGACGCGGCGAUCGGCUGCUGCGGCGGCGGCGGCGAGGGAGGCAGCGGCGGCGGCCUUCGUCAUCUAUACCGGCGAACGAGAGAGAGAGAGAGAGACGCACCGUAACCCUAACCCUUUUGUUUCGCUCCGAUUUUCACGGCUCCAUUAAUGGCGGACUCGUUCCGCUUUAUAGUAACUAUUGAGGAGGACUAUUAAUGGGAUUUAAGUUUUAUUUGGGAUCCGGACGCGUAGAGAGUACUAAAUUGCGGCUAUAAUGUUUGAAGACCCCUCAACUAAAUGUUAUUCUGAAAGAAGUUCCAAAACUUUAUGAAAAGGUAUUAAGAAUUUAAGACAUCCAUCAAUGUUGGCUUAGGUUAUUCCAAUAUACCCCCCCUCAACUUUUUUGUUUUUGAGAUUGACACCCUCAACUUCUAAUUUCUUUUGUUUGAGAUUUUACUGACUAUUAAUUACGAUAAUUUUAUUUAAUAAAAAAUUUGAUGAAAUUAUCAAUAAAUUUGCAAAAAUUUUAACUAAAACUUAGUUAAUUCUAACGAAAUAAAAGUUAAAAGAGUUUAGUAUAAACAGACAAAAAUUGAGAGUCUAUUUUAUAAUGGCUUAUAGAUGAGAGAUUAAUUUGGAUUUUUACUUUUUUUUUCCUCUAGAUAACUAGUAUAGCUAAUGAUUCUAAAUAUCUAGAUUGUAUUGGUUCGCUAAUUAAAUUCUGAAAGACUAUUUUUAAUUUUUUCGGGAAUAAGAACAUUCCAGAAUAAGCUAAGAUAAAAUUUUAUAAGAAAUUCAAUAAUUUUGAGAUUUUGUAAAAGUGAGUUGUCAUUUUCAAUUUUUCAGAUUUUGCUUGAAUUUAUUGUGCUCGGACCAAAAUGCCUCUCUUAUCCUCCCGCCCUCCCCUAAAUACGUAGAAAGUACGGUACGGGCCACUCCCACAAACAAUAAAUGCAUGCUCCGAAUCAUGUCAUAAUUUUCUUCUUCCUUACUAUUCAUCUUCCUCUAAUUACUUUUUUUUUUCUUCUUCUUGUUUUUGAUACUUAGUCGCGUAUAUUGCUUUUUCUUCUUUAUCAUUCUUCUUCUCCUAGUCAUUUAUUUUCUUCUAUGUUAUUUUUCCUCUUCUUGCUCCUUCCUUUAUAAAUGUGAAACCAACUCAAACAAAUGGUGCAAUUUAUUCUUUAAUGAUGUGGUAUCAUCUAAUAAAUGGUGCAACUUUUUCUAUAAGAAGGCAAUAAUGUUAUUCGUGAAAUACCUUUUGGAAAAGAAACAAAAAAAAUAUUUUUCCUUGGAACCCAUAUCAGCCCAUUUUCCUUCCGCAAGAAAAAAUUUAAGAUUUACAAUUUUUCUGUUCAUGCAACAAUCCUUUAUAGAGGUUUGAGCAUAAUGAUAUCCAUUACGUCAUUUACUGUUCGGUUAAAUUUGAAAUAAAGUUGGAUAUGAAAAUUAGAAACUAAUUCUAUACAAUUAUGCAGACAAAUGGUGCAAAUAUCAUUCUAAAUAGUGCAAUAAAAAUGUAAACAGUGCAAUGUUUCCACCAAGUAGUACCACUAUAUUACAAAGUAGUGCAACAUUCCCUACGAAUAGUAAACUGACGAUCAAGUAGUGCAACGCAACUCACACCUCUCAUUUCUCUUCUUUUCUGAUUUCUUCUUUUCCUUCUUCCUCCCUCUCCUCCUCCCAGUCGUUCUUCUUCUUCUUCUUCUUCUUCUUCUUCUUCUUUUUUUGCUUUUGUACAAUAUGAUACAGAAUAACUGCUUGCACACAAAUAGGAAAGUUACACACAUUUAUCGUUAGUUAGUACAACUUGUAUAAUAUGUUGUACAAUAGGAGUAGCUUUUGCACACUUACAUAUGAAGAUACAUAAAUUCAUCACUAAUUAGCGUAAUUUCUAUACUAUGUUGGGCAAUUAGGGUAGCUUUUGCAUACUUUCACGUGAAAUUACACAAAUUUGGCAUUAAUAGUGCAAUUGUGAAUAAAUCACACAAUAAAUUAUUAAAUGGUACUAAACGAAGUUUGUUUUCGAUAUAUGGAAGGAAUGUCAUUCAAAAUUUACACUACACAGUGAAUGCAUUACAGAUAAACCUGACGCAUUCUGAGAAGCAAAUUCAUGCAAUAGAAAAGAAAAAAAAAAGAUGAUAGAGAUAUCUUAACUGCACAACAGUCUUGUCUAAUUAAAAACUAAAUUGAUGAACAAUUAGUUCAAUAUCUCAUGAAAUAGUGUAACUUUUAACGAAUUAAAGCAAUAUACAUUCAAUUUAUUCAACCCACAUGGCCAUUAAAAAUAUUGCCCAUGGUGCACCGUUUGCUGCCUGCUGUUUUGUUUGACAAUGCAAAGUAGUUGUAUUGGCUUCUUUUCACAUUUGCUGUUUGAAGCAAUCCCACUUACAUUGCACCCUCUCAUCUCCAUUAUUCCAUCCAUUUUCUCUCAACCACCUCAUAGUACUGUUCCCCUUCUCUGGUUCUCUUUAUGCGGCUUAUUGCUAUCUUUGCACUACUUGAAGCCCAUUUUACCCGGUUUGAAACCCACUCGCCAUUAUUUUCUGCUGGAAGGCAUUUUGCUUGUAAUGGCAUCGAAAUCUAGCGAGUCUAGCAAUUCGUCAUUUUAGGCUGCUGAGAAGGCACCUUUGAGAUCAAAUAUCGACGAUCCCAGUGGUAGAUAUAUAGUCAAUUCACGAUACUUUGUGGGAGCUUACAGAAAAACAUAUGCUACUGUUGUAAAAACACAUCACCUUCCUAUCAUUAAGAGCACCAUCUUCACAAACAUCCUCCUUUUUUUCAAAAUCACUAUAGGCAGAGUUAAUCCAGCAUUAUCAGAAAGAAGAUGUGGAUUUUGAAGGUGGCCCUCAGACCAUACAUUUGACAUCCCAAGAGGUGCCGUUUUUCUAGGAUUAGUCCUAGACGACCAAGCAAUAUACCUCGAUGUUAAGGGCGAACCUGGUGUUCAGAGGAGAUUCCUUGAGGGGAAAAGGUUGACAACAAGCACCUCGAGGUAGUAUUGAAAGAGAUGCCUUCAAACAAGGAUAGAGAGAGCAUUCGACUUCAUCAAAUCAUUCAAAAAAAAUCGAGCCGAGAACCACACAUAGAUAGGCUAUAUAGUUUCGUAAAAGUGCAAAAGUUAGAGCAAAGAACUACAUAUCGUUCUUGCACAAGUUAGAGAAAUACCACACUAAUUGUCAAAAUGUUGCACUAUUUAUCUUGAUAUUGCACUAUUUCUCGAUGUCGGCUACGUAAUUUCUUGCAAAUUUUCAAUACUGUUUUAGAAAAAAAUGUUUAUAGGUGCCGAGAAAAAAGUUGGCAUUCUGACGUAUCUAUUAGUAACUUUGGCUCAACGAUGUGUUGCAACAUGAACAGUUUUUGAAAUAACAUUGAGUUUGUACCUUUGACAUUCCGAUUGCACGCUUUCAUUUUCUCGUGCGCAUGUAGGAGAAGAACACAAAAGGAAGAAGAACACUUAAGAAAAAAAAAUACUAUAAGGAGAAAAGAAGACGAGUGGCAAAGAGGAAGAAGAUAAAGCAUGGCAGGGAGGAGGAAGGGAAAGAAGAAGACAAAAAAGAAGAAAGAAAGAAAGGAGAGGAUAGAAAAAGGUUAGCCACAUUGUACUACUUGAUCAUCAGUUGCACUGUUCGUAGGGAACGUUGUAGUACUUUAUAACGUAGUUGCACUACUUGGUGGGAACAUUGCAUAGUUUAUCGGCAUCAUUUUGUUUGCAAAGUUGUACAGAAUUAGUUCUUCGAUUUUCGUGCCCAACUUUAUUUCAAAUUUCUCUCAAAAAAAAAAAACUUUAUUUCAAAUUAUUCGAAUAGCAAACAACGUAAACAAUAUCAUGACACAUAGUCCCUGAGAAAGGGUUAUUGCAUUAGUAGAAAAAUAAUCAAUACUUUUUUCCUCGAAAAGAAAAAGCGGUUGGUACAGAACCUAAUGAUAAAAAAGGUAUUUUUUAUUUUUUCCAAAAUAGUGCAUCACAAAUAUUGUCAAUUGUUGCACAAAGAUAGACUAAAUUGCACAAUUUGUUGGAUAAAGUCAUACUAUAAAAAAAUAAAUUGCACCAUUUAUUUCAGUGCUCCUUCAUUUUACUUUUGUAACAGAGUUGUGGAAGAGAAGAGGAAUAGCAUAGAAGGAGAAGAACGGCAAGGAAAAGAGGAAUGACACGGAAACAUAAUAUGAACAUAGAAGUAACAAAAGAAAAUAAAAGGAGAAGAAUAUCAAAGAACAAAAAACAGUGAGGAGAAAAGAAGUAAAAGAUAAAAGAAUAUAGAAGUACAUGAAGAACAUAAGAACAUCGAAGAAGAAAAAUGGUGAAGAGAAAAGAAGAGGAACGGUAAGGAAAAGAGAGGAAGAAAAAGCAUGACAGUGGGAGGAGGGGAAGAAGAAGAAGAGAAAAGUAGGAGAUGAAAAAAAGAAGAAGGAAAAGAUGGGUUGCAUUCUAACGAAAAUAGUGAGGUGGCACAUAGUAGGCAUUUAUUGUUCGUGGUAGUGGCAUGUACCAUAUUUUCUACAUAUCAGAGGUGGGGGAUGGGGGGCACUUUUGUCUAGAUGCAACAAAUCUAAGCCAGAUCUGCAAAACUGAAAAAAAAUAGCCUACUUUGGCAAAAUACCAAAACUAGUGAAUUUUUUAUGCAAAUUUAUCAUAAACUAAUUAUUCUUAAUAUUUCAAGAAAAAUAGUUAGAGAGCAAUUUUUUUUAUACUGUAGAUGUUAAUUUAAACUGUUGCAAACUACACACACGAGUAACUUCCUUGGAAGUUGAAUUCAUAGUCAUGCCUGAACUAUAGUGUCAGAAUUAGAAUUUCAUAUUAUCUUUUCAAAGCAGUUAUAAUAAAAGAAAAGAAAGUCUAUCUUCUUUUACUAAAAUGUCUUUAAUUUUAAAUUUUAAUUUAUUUCUUUUUAAUUUAUUUCUAAAAAUAAUUAAUAUAAUAAUUUUAUUAAUAUAUAGCUCUUAUUAUUUUAGUUUUAUUUAUUAUAAUUAACUACAGCUUAUAUAUUUAAUAAAAGUAUGAGUAAAUUUUAUAAAAUUUCUUACUUAACUAAAAUAACUCAAUUAUAAAAAGACUAAGAAAUAUCAUUAUAAAAUAAGGCCAAUUUGUAUAAAAAAAAUUCUACUAAUUUUACAUUCUUAGAAAAGCAGGCCACUGACUUGAUUUUCACAAAUUCGAUUUGGAUUUUAUAAUAAACUGAUUAAGAUAUUCUUCUCUCUUCUUUUUCUCUUUUCUCAUUCCUCUCCUUCCUUCUCUAUCAUCUCUAUGUUGUCACUUAAUUUGGCACUCUAAAAUCUCCUCCAUAUCAUAUUUGUCAUCUCUUUUGCCCUAUUUGGCUCUACCAUUGCCUGCGCGCGUGCCUAUAACGUCCCGCUUCCCAGGAGGUCACCCAUCCUAGAACUAUUCUAGUUCUAACAUACUUAACCCCUCUUGAGCUUAACUAAUAUCCAAUAUGUUAUAGCUGGAUUAUGAGGUUUAGUCCUAUAAUAUCUAAUAUAUAUGAUUAUUCUAAAUCUUAGUAGUGUUGCAUUUAUCCCUUUUUAAGCCCUAACAUCCUCGUCAGGCUUAAGUACACUCGCAAGCACUAGGCAAUCUGAGACUUAUUUUACUAGUAUUAGUUGAUCUUGCGGGAAGCCAUGCCCCAUCCAUAACGAUCGUCAAUCAUGGACCGUGUUCUACUCGUUAUAUGACCCUAGAUCAGUCAAGACUUAUAUCAUAUUUCCUGCUGGUAAUUGACUAACGCUCCACGUUUUCUAUCUUAGACUUACUCUAGUUCUAGCAAGCUAAACUCUCUAAACUUUUUGAGCCUAACAAUCAUCCAACGUGUUAUAGCCGGGUUAAAUGGUUUUGCCCUAUUAUAUCCUAUAUAUAGGACUGUUUCAAAUCUUGGGGGUGUUAUAACGCCACACUCACCCUUACCCUCAUUGUGUAGUGGCACAGCCUCAGGGGAACCUCACCACUGCAGUCACCGCGAGUUCUACAACCGCACAAGGGUAGCAAUACCUCUUUGCCGCUCAUAGAUGGGUUCAUCCGGGGGCUAUUUACCGACACCCCUUUAAACAGUGGGGGGAAAGGUAAAGGAAAAGGGAAAUAUGGAUAUGAUGGUGGCACAAGAGACUUUGCACUAUUUGGACAAAUAUUACUACAUAGUAAGAAGAGAAUUAUAAUAACAUACAACUUUUAUUUUUGUGGUAUAAUUUAGCCUUAAAUAAUUUUAAAUCGUGCAACUUAAUCUCAAGUGAUGCAACUUAGUCGUCAUUGUUGUCAUCAAACAGGUCGACUCCUUUGCCGUCACGGUCGAGGUCGAGGCUGUCAAAUGCAUUGCCUAACACCUUCAUCCUGCAGUGAAGAAUGAGAAGUAAUCUUGAGAGCCAAGUAAAAGAAGGUUGGCCCGGCCGCUUCUAGAGGCAAUAGUUGUUAGAGGGGGCAAGGUGAAGGAGGAAUGGGAGGAGGGUGCAUUGUAUUGUCGUCAUCCUCUUCCUCGAACUACACUGUCGCCGGUAGAUAUCAAGCCUUGCCAUCUCAAACUGCACAACCACCCACGUACCCCCUCACCUGCACGAUUCGUGCCGUAUCCAAGCCCUCGUGCUGUCGCCAGCGUCAGCAAAGUUAUGAACGAGGCAGAGGGAGGAGCGCAGUGGCAAAGCGGGGGUGAUGGAGAAGGAAGAGGAGAAUAGGGAGGAAGCAAGUGGAGGAGAAAAAGAAUGAAGAGGAAACGGAAGAAGAAAGAGGGGAAGGAGAAAAAAAAAAGUGUUUUUAUCUCCUACUUAAAAAUUUUGACUGAAUCUAUAAAAUUAAAAAUGAUCCGGUUUGUCAAAAUACAAAACUAAUGAAUUUUUUUAUAAAGAAAGAUCAUAUAUAAGGAAAGAUAAACGGGCAAUUUCAAAUAAAUCUUAUAGUUGAGGGGGUGUCUACAUAUUUUAACCCCUCCAAUAAUAGCGGGGCCCACCAAGGGGUGUUUGACAACUCAGAAUCGCGGCGAUGGGUUGGGUUGGCUAAACUCCAAGGUAGAUUCUGACCAAUUACAAGACGACAACUGGCGCAGACCUGCGUAGGCUCGGCGCCGUUCGUUCGAUGGAUGUGCGAAGACCCAACAAAAAAAAAAAAAUAAAAUAAAAGAAUCACGCCAUUGCUUGCGUUGAUUGAUGUGAUAGCGUAUGAAAAUUAUUUUCUAUUGCAAUAAAAUAAAAAUUAAAAUUGAAUAAUUCGUGGCCUUCGAAUUAGGACUACUUGAAAAAUUAGGUACAUUAUUUAAUUUGUGUAUUGUGCAGAUAUUUUUCUUCGCAUGCAUAUCCUCAACAUGCGUGUACUUGAUUAAUAUAUUAAUGACUGGGUCAUUUGACUACUUAAUAAUAUUAAAUAAAAAAUAAAAAAUUAUAUAUAGAAAUAUAUUUUUAUGUUUUUCGAUAAUACCGUAGGAUUGUCGGAUUUGCACCCUUUUAAGAAACGGUUUGCUUAAAUCUAAUUACAAAUAUAGUGUAGCUAGAAAUAGAACAGUUAUAAUUAUAUGUAUCAUAUUUUAUUAGAUGUAAUAGAAAUUACUGUAAUUAUAAAUAAUUUCUUUAGUUUUAUGUAGUUGAGAAAUAAUUUUUAAAUAUUUAUUAUUUUACACAUUUGAUGGUGAAAUUAACUUUAAUGUAAAAAAGGAAAAAAUUAUUUAAAAAAUAAGUAAGGAGGUAAGUAUAUUUUUUAGUUAAAGUUACUUUCUUCAAAGAUUGCAGUUGGAACUGUGGCUAAUUUGGGCAUAGUUCCAACUGCUAUUAGGCUCCUCUUGCAAUUUUUACUAUAAUAAUUAAAGUUAAAUAUAUCAAACAAAUCACUGUAUUUAUAUUUACAUAUAGUUAAAAUUGCAAUAUAGUUGCAACUAUAAGCAACCUAAUGGCCCCAAAAAGUAAAAGAGACUUUCGUUCUCUCUUUUUUUCGGAUGGACAUUUGAAUAUACUAUUCAAAUAAAAUUCCGACGAAUUUUAUAAACUUUUAAUAUUAUUCAUCUAAUAUUUAAAUAAUUUUAUAAUUAACAAUUUUUAUAGUUAAUAUAUUAGGUAAAUUCGAGACCACUUAAUUACAAGGUAACUGUCCUAAAAAAAUUAUAAAAUCUAUUAUUUUUUCGCUCAAAUAGCCUAAAUUGUAUUUAGGGAUGUCAACAGCCAAUUCAAAUUUUUCAUCAUCGAAAAAUACGUGAAAGUAAAUAGCCCCAUUUCUUCUAACUUUAUUAUUAGCAUAUUACAUUAAUUUACGAAUAUAUAUAAAUUACUAUAUUGUUUAAUUAAUAGCAAUAUGAUAAUUAUAUUAAAAUGAUGAUUAAAAGCAGUUUUAAUGUGCUUCUCUGUAACACGUAGAUCUGUGUUCGAUUGUUGUUAUUUCUACGUAAAAUAGAUAUUACGUAAAAGACUUUGACUCCGUUUAUAAUUACAAAAGGAAUAUAUUAUAUAUAGAAAAAUAUUCGAUUUAUUUUUAAUAUUUUAUAAAAUAAUAGUUUAUUUGUUACUUCUUUUACUACACUAUUUAGGUCCCGUUUGGUUCAGAAAUAAAAUGAAGAUAAUAAAAAUUAUCCCCACUAUUCUGUCAACGAGGUGACUUUUGGCUGGAAUAUUUAAUUUUGGUCAAAUCUUAUUAUUUCCAGUUUUCUCGAAUACUACAACAAAAUUAGAUUAUAGGGACACAUAUUUGGGACACUUUUGAGUAAAUGUCCCAUUUAUGCUAAAACUUAAAAACACAUCUACUAAUGCCUAAAUAUAAAGCCCAAUCCAACCAAAAAUAAAAGAUUACUCUACUCAACCCACCACACCCAGUGCAUUUGGCCCGAUUACAAACAGAAAAGAAAAAAAAAAAAAGAAAAAUCAAUUACCAUUUUUUCUUCUCUCUUCACUCAAUCCACUGAAAUUCUAGACGAAGAGCCUUUACUGUCGUCCUCCUCCGCCACUGCAGCCAACAAGAUAGAGUUUCGGCGGUUGCUAAAUACUUAAAUAAGUGUUGGUAAAUUAGCAGCACUCUUUUAGGUUAUAGCGACACUCUUUAACUGUCACUAUAUACCUAACGACCCCACAUAUAGCAAUACUUUUUAAAAGUGUCGGUAAUUUUAGCUAGCAGCACUUUUUUGACAUGUACCUACAUUUAAAAGUGUCGCUAUAGACCGUUUUUGUUGUAGUGGAAUAGCUCCGUAUAAAUUAUUUCAUCAUUUUGACGGAAUAGUACUAUUCCGUAAUUUAACUUUUAGCUUUAUUAAGAUUAUAAAUUAAAUUAAAAUUAAAUUAUAUAGAUCUAAUAUCUUAUAUGUUAUAAUAAAAAUAUAAUUGUACUAUAUAAAUACAUAUUAUUUAUAUUUAAAUACUGUAAUAUAUGAUUAUAAUACAUUAUAUUUAAAUAUUAUAAUAAAUUAUUUUUAUUAAAUAUUAUAAUAAUUUUUUUUGCAAUAAAUUAUUUUUGUAACAAUUAUUUUUAUUAUAUUAUAUUUUAUAACAAAUCUAAUCAUCACUUUUUUUUCAUUAUUCUCCACUAAUCCAAAAAAUUAACGAAAUACAAUUUUAAUUAUUGUUAAGAAUAAUAGUAUUACAAACAAAACAUAAUUUUAUUUUAUUCCUAUCUAUUCUGAAAUAGUAAGCUAUCUCAGAGAUAGAAAACUUAUCUCANCUCCUAACUUUCUAACCACCCAUCAAGUUGGAUGGGUGGUUAGAAUGAGAGAGGGAGGAGAUAUUGAAGAGAAAUUGGGUGUUUCAAUUUCUCAUCUCCUUGAAUUUCUCUUCAAUAUCUCAUCUCUCUCUCAUUCUAACCAUCCAUCAAAUUUGAUGGGUGGUUAGAAUGUUAGGAGCACAAGGGCUGCUGUGCUCCUAAUAGCACAGUAGCCCUACUCUAUAUAUAUAUAUAGAGCUAGGCUACUAUACUAUCGGUAGCAUGGAGCGCUCCGUGCUAUCAAGUUGUUUUCGAUGAUGCGGCUUCCAAAUCAACGAUCGGCUCCGUUAGAGUUGAUCCACACUAUUGAAAGUAUUUAGAAACUAAAUUUCAUAAUUUUUCGAUAUCUUUUACCUAUCAAACAAGUAGUCUAAAAUUGAACGGCUGAAAAUAAAAAUCUCAUAAAAAAUGAUGACAAAAGAUUUAAAUUCAAGAUCAGAUAUGCUGAUCUUACUCUAAAUAGUGAAAAGAAUUUUCUAUAAACUUUUCAUCGCAUUUGAAUUAUUUUACACCGUUAAACUCACAAACACACCACAUCGGCCAUUAAAAUUAUCAAUUUUGAAAUCUUUUGAUCACUAGUCAAAUGAUGUUGAAAAAAUUUGAAAUUUAGUUUUCAAAUAUUUUCAAUACUGUAGAUCAAGUCUAACGGAGCCGAUCGUCGAUUUGGAAGCCGCAUCAUUAAAAACAACUUGGUAGCACGGAGCGCUCCGUGCUACCGAUAGCAUAGUAGCCGGACUAUAUAUAUAUAUAUAUAUAGCCGGACUCUAAAUUUUACAAGCACCAUAGCCGAGUUCUAUAUAUAUAUAUAUAUAUAUAUAUAUAUAUAUAUAUAAAACUAGGUUGGAAUGCUUUCAAUGGUGUUAUUAGAUUUUCGGCACUUGGAUAAAAAAAUAUACGAUUAGAAUAAUAUAAGGCCCCUAGAAUUGAGUGAGUUGUUGGUUAAAUAAUAUGAUCUACAUGUACUUCCUAAUGUGUUUUUUUUAAUCCAAUAGUAUUAGAAAAUCUGCAAUAGCGAACUGUACAGGGCGAAUUUUUUGUAGUCUCGUGGGCAGGAUUUUCUGCAUAGCAUGUGGUUUUGCUGUCUUUCAUACAUGAAAAUAUCAAGAUAUUUAGAUGCUAAUCAAAUUCGAAUGAUAUUUUCUUCGUGUGAACAGACGGCGAGAUCAUUUCGUGCGGCAUUAAAAAAAAAAAAAAAAGGAAAAAUCUGAGUUUGUGUGAUGAAGGGUCUCUCUCUUCUGGGCUGUGGUGUAGCUGCCUGUGAUGCGCGCUAUUGGGUUUGUGGGUAGACUUUACACCGACCACGACAUCUUUCGGUGGUGGUGGUGGUGGUGGUCCCGGCAGAAGUGAUCACCACAUAUUUUUUAAAAAAAGGAAAUAAACGCAUGGAAGGGAAUGGUCCUCAUUAGAGGGAAAAAAAUCCCAAACUUUGACUUUGUAAUAAAUAUAAACCAUAAACUUCAAAUACCAUUCCCGUAAUUUUAUAUUUUUUCAUUUUAAUACUAUGUGAUUUAAAAUAUAUCAAAUUACUAUCCUGUGAUUCCAUUUUUCUCUUUUUGUCAGCUCUUUCGUUAAUUUUUUAUUAAAUUAUAUAUAAAAAACUUUUGCUAUCCUAUUUAAGUUUAUCGAAUGUUUACUCUCGUACCCUUUAGCUUUAACUUUGUCACUAAUUUAACGAACACAAAUUAAUGGAAUGGAUAAUAAAAAGAAAAAAAUGGAAACACAAGAUACUAAAUUGAUACACUUUAAACCAUGGGGUACUAAAGUGAGAAAAUACGAAACCACAAGGGUGGUAUUUAAAGUUUUCUCUAAAUAUAAAUAUAAAUGUCUAAACUUUUAAUUUUAGUAAUUGAAUAUUCUAUAUUUUUUCAAAUAGUUUGAUAGUUCAAUUUUUUAAUUAAAGUUAUUAAUUAUACCGUCGUGCUAGUUGUAUAUUUUGUAUAUAAAUUUUUUUUAAAAAAUAGAAAUAUAUAAAAAAUAUUUUCUUCAUUCUAUUCUACUGUAUGAAAAAGGUAAUAAAAAUUAAAGUUGUGUUCACCCUAUACAUCAAUUUUCAUAUCUUCUUUUUAAAUUGAAAGAGAAAAAAAAAGAAGAAGGUGUUUUUAUGGUCUGAAGUUUUACAAAAUUAUACUAAUAAUAUCCUAUCAAAACAAUUAUUUAGUUAAUAACUUUGAUUGAAAAGAGAAAACUAUAUAUUGAACUAUGAUUGGCAGUCAAAUUAUCACAAAUAAAAAAUUUAGAAAGCUGUUUACAACAGAACUAAGAUCAAAAAAAAAAAAGGGUACAUUUUUCCCUUAAUAAAACCUGUGAAUAAUUUGGAUCCUCGCAUCAACUGUUCUCUGCAUUUAAAUAUUUUGAUGAGGGACAAAGCUACCAUCUAAUCUGAUAGAUUCUUCAUUUUUUAACACCACAACAAAUUUAAGUUCCUGAUGGGACAAGAUAUCCAAGAUUCCAUUGCCCUAGCAUAAAAUCUUGUCUUAAAGUGGGUUGUUGCGUUUCUCACAUUUUUAUCUGUAUUUAAAAAAGAGCACUAAUAAUUUAUGUGCAUUUCAGAAGAGAAUGUACAUCUCAUAUUUUCUCAUUUAAGGAUCAAUAAUUAAUUCCUGUCUUAUCAAGUAUUUUUUUUUGAAAAAAAUACUAAACUUUAUUGAAUUUUUUAUACUCCAAAAUGAAGAGGUGUAAGAUAUAUAGAGUUGAGCUAAAAUACUAUCGGUAGUAAACGAGCCGUUUUACUACCGAUUUGUUUUCGAUAAUAGAACUUCCAAAUUGACGAUCGGCUCCGUUGAAUAUGAUCUAUACCACUUGAAGUGUUUAGAAAUCAAAUUUCAAAUCUUUUCGUCAUCAUUUGCCUAAUGAUCAAAGGGUUUCAAAAUUUAUAAUUUUAAUGGUCGAUAAGAGACAUUUUCUCGUUUAACGGCGUAAAGAUAUUCAACUCAAUUGAAUUUUUGUUAGAAAAUUCUUUAAAUUAUUUAAAACAAGAUCUAUACUCUUGAUCUUGAUUACAAGACUCCUAUAAUUAUUUUUUAAAAAGUAUUCAUUUUCAGCCAUUCAUUUUUCUCUUUAUUUGAUGGAUAAAAGAACAAUAUCGAAAGUACAUGAAAUUUGAUUUCUAAGUAGUUUAAAUGGUUUAGAUCAUAUUUAAUGGAGCCGAUCGUCAAUUUGGAAAGCUAUCCAUUUGAAAAACAAACGGUAGUAAACGAACUCGUUUUAUACCGAUAGUAUUCUAGCUCAACUCCAAGAUAAUAUAUAUAUAUAUAUAUAUAAUAAUAUAUAUAUAAUAUAUAUAAAUAUAUAUAUAUAUUAUAUAUAUUCAUUUUUGGUGAUCUCAUAGUAUUUCUGAUUUAAAAUAGGCUUUUGAUGAUAAACUUAAAAGAAAAUAUGUUUAGUUUGCUGUAGUUGUACAUACAACAUCACAGUUGACAUUGCCAAAUUAAAAGUAAUUACUGUAUUUUGAUGUACCUUCAAUUCCAAUGUAAAGCUUGUCAUAGUUUUGUUUUUUUUUUUUGAGAUAGAUGGUACGCUACCCGCUUCAUUUAUUUCAUUUAGAAAUAAAUUUAGCUAGAAAUGUGAAUCAACUAGGAUUCGAACUUAGGUCUUGGGUAUCAACCACCAAGCCCUUUACCACUUGCUCUAGGGACGGUCGGUGUAAGCUUGUCAUAGUUGCAUAUAAUAAUAUUGCAAUUGGGCAUGCUAAGUAAAAAUCAAGUUGCCGCAUAUUCCAGCCUACCUUCAAUCUGGACGUAAUUGUUGUAGAAAGUAAUUUUACAUAAAGGUUAUUGUCAGGAUAUUUCGUUCCUAACUGUAGUUUUGAUAUUGACAGCUAAGUUAACUUCUCUAUCAGACAUCUCAAAUUCUCGAACGAUCUGGAUAUAAAGUCUUUUUUUUUACUAGAUUAACAUUGUUUUGCUCAUUAAAUUAGAUAAGAUAUUUCACUUUAGGCCAAUAAAUAAGUUUUUCUCUUUUGUAAUCAAUAAUCAAUUUAUUAGUAAAGAAGUGGGUUCUUUUUAAUGCUUUCUCCCUUAAGCUAAGUUAGAAAAUGAGAUCCCCUUCCCCGUUGAGCGGAUAGGCGUCUAACAAAUAUGUAAAAUUUAUCUAUCAAUAUCAAAACUAUAGUUAAGAGUGGAAGAUUCUAAUAAUUUUAAAUCACAUUAAUAUCUUCUUUUAUAAUAAAAAUAGGAGGAACUGACAGUAGUAAUGUUUUUUAAACAUCUAAUGAUAGAUAAAGCAACGAAAUAGAUAAAGAUGGUGAUGACGGCGAAAGAGUGAUCCGUAAAGAUGCCGACAUGGUACAACUAGUGGAUGUGGCGAUUGAGACACAACCAGAGACGCCGAUAGAGAAUGAAUGAUUGGUGGUGGCAAUGGGAGAGGAAUAACAGGUGGAGGAGAUGGUGGAGGUACUUACGGAGGUGACAACUAGUUAUGCAGAGAAGUUAGGAAUUCUAUUUGUUGAUCCAUAGUCCGCAAAAUAGUCAGAUCAACCUCAUGACAAAGUUUUCAACCGAAAAUUCGCUAAUUGAGAUUUAUUCACAUUGAUUUGCAAUCGUACUUUUGGUGCUUAUACACAAUAAGGCACCAUCUUUCGGUAGAAAAUUUUAUCAAAAAGUUUUAAACUCUUGCAUCGUCUGCAAUAUAGAAGUUUUUAAGACUUGAAAUUAUUGAUUUUCCCGUUACUCUGUAAGUAAAGAUUCUCAUUAGUGAUUGUACCAACUAUGUUGCAAGUACGAAGAAGUGUAGUCUUUGCACUACAACAGAAUUAGGUUAUAGGGACACAUUUUUGGGACACUUUUGAGUAAGUGUCCCAUUUAUGCUAAAACUUAAAAAAACAUCUACUAAUACCUAAAUAUAAAGCCCAAUCCAACCAAAAAUAAAAGAUUACUCUACUCAACCCACCACACCCAGUCCAUUUGGCCCGAUUACCAACAGAAAAGAAAAAAAAGAAAAAGAAAAAUCAAUUACCAUCUUUUCUUCUCUCUUCACUCAAUUCACUGAAAUUCUAGACAAAGAGCCUUUCCUGUCGUCCUCCUCCGCCACCGCAGCCAACGAGAUAGAGUUUCGGCGGUUACUAAAUGCUUAAAUAAGUGUUGAUAAAUUAGCAGUACUCUUUUAGGUUAUAGCGAUACUUUUUAACUGUCACUAUAUACCUGGCGACCCCACAUAUAGCAACACUUUUUAAAAGUGUCGGUAAUUUUAGCUAGCAGCACUUUUUUGACAUGUAGCUACAUUUAAAAGUGACGCUAUAGACCGUUUUUGUUAUAGUGUUGACACAAGAAGGUUCGAUUUUGUUACUGAGAACUCGUGUUACUUACCUCCUGUUGGUAGCCGAACUCUCCCUUCUUUGACCUUGUCAAAGAUCUUCCUCGGGAAUGAUGCCGGGAUGUGACGCGGCUAUGAUAAUGACCCUCGAAGUUUGCGCCCUUCGACUGGAUCAAACGAUUAGGCUGAUGAGGGAUCGGAUCAGCCGAGUUCGGAACCUCUGAUAGAAACUCGGUUCGGCUGGAAGAGCCGAAUGUACGGAAUGUGCAGAAUGUAAAGUCGACCGAAGAGCCGAAUUGAUGAGAGAACACAGAAAUUGGUCGGCUUAAAGAGCCGAAAGCCUUUAAGAUAUAUUUGAAAUUACUCUCGAGGGAAAGUACAAGGGUUGAGUGUGCCCGAGGGCAUACAGACUCGGUUGAUCUAUUCUAAUUCUACUCUUAGGAAAACAGUAAAUGUUGAAAAUUAAAGGGUUACAAGUAGACUACUCCUAAGAAAUGCAAAAAAUUGCAAGGAAAUAAGAGUGGUCUUCUGUUCACGGGGAAAAGACCACUUUUUUGGGCGUUAUUGGCCAAUUUAUAGAUCGCCCAUGUUGAUCAGUUAUUACUUAUCCAUGAUCGGCCACUAUUCCCUAAUUUUUCGGGCCACUUCCAGCCGAUUGGAACCGCUUGCAACUGCUCGCGGUUGCUGUAACUUCCCUUAAUUCAUGCGGGUUCACUUUUUGAUGCUCCCGGUGCACAGCAGAAACAUUACUUUCUUUUAAACAAAACUGCUAUGGUGUACCGGGUACCACGUGUCCGCGUCUUAUUGGCCCAACAAUUGCCCCCUCGGCAGCUUCCAAACUACCGCUUCGAUAGCUGGCGUAAUCCGAGGCGCGACUUCCGAUCCGAUUAAAAUUUCUUUUAAGAUUUCGCCUCAGCCGUCCAUUUCUCUUCUACGGCCACGAUCUUGCCAUCAUUUCGAUAACUAGCGUGAUCCGAGGCGUGACUCUCGAUAUAAUCAAUUUCAAAUUCUCUGCACGAUUUCGUUUCAGCCGUUCAUUUCUUUUUCAAGGCUACGAUUCUGCCAUCUCUUUUUGUCUUAUAUGCGGCAUUAAUUAGGUCAUCUUAAUUGCCGCCGUCUUUUGAUCGUUAUAGCCGAUCUCGGGAAUCGAUUUUCGACGCGACGGCUCUUUUUCUUCCCCGCCAAUCUUUCUUUUCUCUAAUUUCUAUUUACCUCAGGCCUCGUCUUCUCCAUUUCUGAUCUAUAGCUUUGGCUCCAUUUUCUUUUCCUUAUCGAUUCGUAAGGCUUCUUCUCCCUUCUUUAGCAAUGGCACCGGUUCCAUCUCUUCCAUCUUCUUUGUCCUUAGAUUAUAACAUCUUUAGACAACUCACCGACUCAGAUCCAUCUCGCUUCAUUUUAGGUCCUUCUUUUACAGACGAACCAACGCCUAGCGACUCCCCAUAUUCCAGUGAUGGCCUUCCAUUUUCAGCCAGAACUACCCACCUCCAAUCUUGGUAUUCGUCAGCUUCAACAGGCAAAAGUUUUCGAACCUGGCCAAGUGUUUCGGAUGCAUACCUGGCCUGGUUAGACCGGGUAGAAGUUGCCUAUGGUGCCUCUUGGCGGGAAGUAGGUAUUUAUAAGGCAAUCAAAUUAUCUCGGCAACCCCCAAUAGCCGACAAUCUCCUUUUAGCCGCUGCUCUCUGUUUCUGAUACCCUGUUUCUAACGUUUUUCUUUUCAAAUGAGGACCCCUUACUCCCACUCUUUUUUAUGUUGCUGCCAUCGUUGGCUUACGCCCCCAUGGAGUUACCCUCUCCAUGUCCUACAAUCCUAAUGGCAUGUUUGAUUUUAAGGCUUAUCUUGAUCUCAAUGACUUGGCUUACUCUAAGUUUCUCUGCAAAUUUGCCGGUGAGUCUUCUGCUGCGGUUACAAGGAAGGAACAUACAGACUUCCUCCUAUAUUGGUUAUACCACAACCUUUUUUACACUCGUUCGCAAAAAAUUAAUCCGGAUUUCGUCCCAAUCGCCGUAGGCUUAGCCAACGGCGAAAAAUUAGCUUUAGGACCCUAUAUUCUUGCUUUUGUUUAUAGGAAAAUUUUUGAUUUUAUCAAACCACUGACCUCUGGAGAUGGUGUGACCAUCGGUUCUGGUUGUGGUGUUUUUUGGUUCUUGCAAAUAUUUUUGCAAUUUUAUUUUCCCACUCUGUGCCGAGAUCCUGUAGAUCUAAACUCGGUUGCUGAACAUGACUCUUAUAGGUUAGCUCUCAGCUGUCUACAACCGAAAACCUCAGGUCACCCUUUUGAUUUUCUUACUUAUUUUAAAACUUUUUAUGAGUUGCGCUAUAGUUUUGCUAUUUCUUGGUCUCUAUUUGCUGACCGUCUCACUUGUCCAUCUUGGUUCCUUACCCGAUACGAGGCCCUUCACAGCGAAUUGGCAUCUUCUCAUGCCAGUGAGUAUUUAGACGUCUAGUACUCCUUUUUGGCCACAAGGAUUUGCAUGUGGGGCUAAAAUCACGUUCGAAACUGCUGCCGAGCACCGAAGUUUACUCCCCCCAAUUUGCAGCGUGUCAGUUUGGGUUGAUACAAGCGGUUCAUGCUCCAACCAAGUUUUUUACUGCCAAUACAGCUGCCAUCCGGCCUACUACCAAGGGCAUAGCCGAAGCCGAUCAGAUUUCGGCUAUGGGGAACCGUCUCCGGCCGUUUUACAAGUUAAUAAGCUUCAGGUCGAAUUCCACAGGUGUGGCGCUAUCUAGUUAUCUCACAACUUGGGGACAAUUCACUGAUAUAGUCUACGGUUUAUCUACCCCUCGGGCGUAUUACAAGACUAUUCAUCCAUUUGUUUCAGUUGAUACCUCUGCUCCAUCAACAUCGGAAAAAGAAUCAGAAGAGACUUCCGAUCAUACCUCUGAUGUCCCGCCUUCUUCUUCUGUAAUAAACUUUAUUUUUAUUUUGACUUUCUUUUCUUAACAUGAUUAAUACUUACUUCGUCUUUAUCCAUUUUCAUAUAUAGUCAAUCCCGACUUCUUCAUCGGUCCUAGCUUCAGAAACUUCAGAAAAAAGACCGAUCGAGACUGAACCUCCGCCGCCUUCGAAGCGGCGUAAGUUGGUUGCUAAAAGACCACAUUCCAAGCAAGCCGAAGGCAUUUCUUCGGCUGACGAUUUGCAGAAAAGGGCAGAAAAUAUACCUUCUAUCACACCCCGAGACCGCUACCAAUUUGGUACGGUUUGGGCACGUCGAACAUACACCGAACGGACAGCACCUCCCCUGUCCGUCCAAGGCUUGACAACAGAAUCAUGUACAUAGAAUUGCCCAGGAAUAAUUCAAUUACAUACAUGAUAAGCACGGAGCACUACUAGUGCUAACAAGUGAGAGCAAGAUACAAGUAUACAAUACAAGUGAAUAUAUACAAUGUUCAUCCAAAAUACAUAAGCAACUCCCUCAAAAUACAUCACAACUCUCAGGUACAUGGGUACUCUAAUGCAUAGGGUAGCUGCUACUAAGUUAGGGCGCGAUGCCCUUACCACGGUCCUCGCCGGGAGCACUCGAACUCGGCCCUACAAUAAAGUGGGGUGAGAACUAUUGUCCAUAGUUUUCAGUGGGUUCGGCCGCUGACUCCGCCGAUCUCCCCACUAGGUCUAAGCAGGCAUAAGCAGAUAGAUAGAUAGAUAUCUAAAAGUAAAGCUGAUGCAUAUUGAAAGAAUUGCACUAUUCUACUAUGCCUUGAAAUUCAGGAAUGAACAAGAUAGCCAUGCAAUUACUAACAUACUAUAGUACCAACAUCAAGUAUGGAUGCAACUCUACUAGCUCAUUAUGCUCAAUGCACAUGAUUCUUAUGAGUUUAUUACCCAAUCCUUUGGCUGGCCCAUAGGCGCGCUCUGGACUCACAUCUCAAAUCCGUCUAUGAUGGGGGACUCGAACCACCCGAGGGAUCGUCUGCGGGAACCCAAAUAGGCUAUCCCAAUCAUACAUGUGCCAAACUCCGGAGCGCACUACUUGUGCGGAGCGACCGCCACAUGCGCUGAACAGACUAUGUGAGUAUGAUCCAAUCCUUGUCACAGAGGAUAUCCUGUCACUAGGGUCAUCACUAUCGCACUGAUCUCAUGCAAGGUGUCAAGUAGGGAGACUCGUCUAUCCCCUAAGUCAUCAUGUCACUAGUGUUCUUUUAACACUAAGUUCUAAUGCCACUCGUCAAGUUGUUUACUUAGUUUACAUGCCACUCGUCAUGAUGCAAUGCCUCGACUAUACUAGUCCUAUAUCAUCAACGCAAGAUCAAAUUAUUAUUUAACUUAUCUCUAUAGGGUUCUAUGUCACAAAGCUCAUCCUCAUGCACCCUAUCUCACUUGCCAAGCCUACUAUGCCGCACUACAAAGGGAACAUGUAAGAAUAGUAAUUGCAACAUCUAAACACCCUAUCAUGCAUGAAGUAUACAUAUAGAAUAUGAUCAACAUAGAGAUACUUAGACAUAGGGAGGAGCCCAGUUGCUUCGGGAUGACACCCUCCACCUCUUGAUAACGUAGCGAGGCUAGGUACUCGACUCCGCGAUCCUUGGUCGCCGCUUCAACUCUUCGGGCCAACACGAAGCCUCAAACGCUCGUUUCGGCAAUAUCUUUGUACUGGCUCGACGAAUCAACGAACCGACCUUUCCAACGCGUUUAAACACCUAGCAAUUAGGUUAACACAUGAUCAAUUUAGAUCAAAACCCUCUAUUUUCAAAAACUCCAAUUUGGGGCCCUAGGUUUCAACUAAUGCAAGAAUCCCAUCUCAAAUCCCUAGAUUCAAGCAUAAACCUUCUAUUUGGCAAGCUAGGGUUCCAACAAAAUCAAUUCUAGAAGAUAAAAAUCCAUCUAAAGGGAUUUACCAUGAAAGCUCUCAAAGCUUACCUCAAGAAACUUGCUCUAAUGGUGGAGAGGAAGAAGAGGAAGAUGCCAAUCCUUCUUCUUGCUUGCUCAUCCACCAAAAUCCCCUCAUUCUUCACCCUCUAGAGAGAGAAAAAGGAGUUUAGAGAGAGAGAAAGGGAGCUAGGGGUGAGGUUGGGAGAGAAAUGAGAAGAAGAGGGCUCAUUUCCCCUCUAUACCCCUUCACAAGUGCACAUUUGCACAAAACACCCCUCACUUUCCAAGUUACACACUGGCCCAGCCUGGGCAGUUUCUGGCUACGGGGACUGGUCUGUCCUUGGAGGGACCGGUCCCUGAGAGCAACUUUUGCGGGCAGAGCUUUUCUGCCAAUUUCUACGUGUACGGGGACCGGUCUGUCCCGCCAGGGACCGGUCCCCGAGAGCAAAUAUUGUGCGCAGAGUUUUCUCUGCCGCACCCCUGCUUACGGGAACCUGUCCCUCACACCAGGGACCGGUCCCCGAGAGCAAAAUUCUGCAACUCCGAGGCCCUCAUACUUCUGCAGAAUUUUGCAAAAUUCUGAAAAAUUUUGCAAAAUUUUGCAAAAUUCUGCAGAAUUUUCCUACUUCGCUCUCCGAGGCCCUCCUCGAUGCACUUUUUGAAUUUUUGACGCCUUCGGCCUUUCCGAAGCGUACCCAAUCGACAAUCAGUCGAUUCUAAACGAAGUUCAACUCUCGCAUUUUGAGAAUUCACUUCCUUACACCUUCGGCCACUAUUCCAGAAGGAAGAGCCGAAGAAACACCUCCGGCUGAUGUCCCAAAGCAAGACUCUGUUCUUAGUGAGCCCAUUGAAAUUGAGAUAAAUCAAUUUAGUUAGCCAUUUAACUUGUUUUGUUUUCAACUUAUUUACUUAUUCUUUUUCCAAUAAACUAGUCUUCUCUUGAAAACAAUUCAAGAGUCCGUUUUGCUUUUUCUUUGAAGACGCAGAUUAGUAGACAAGUUCGUCGGGAGACUCGUCUUGAGAAAAAGCAAGAAGUGGAGAGAAAAAGGGGUGCUCGAGAAAUAAGCAAAGAUUUGCCGACAAGUGAUGCGGCACCAUCCUUAUCUACUCCAGUACCAACAACAGAGAGGGAAGAUGCAAGCACACCUUUUAAAAAAGGUGCUGAGGGAGCAAGCACAGUGCCUCACUCGAUUCCUGAAACCUCAUCCUCUGCUCCUGAAGACCCCCUGUUUGCCAUUCUUCACUCUCUAUUAGUUUCGAGCCCUAAUUCUAAUGAAGGAGACGACUCGACUACUAUUAUGAUGUCUACAGACUCUCAACAAAAAUUUGGUGAGUGUCUACGAUUAUAUAGUCAAGGCAUUCCAUCAUUGGCUCAAAAUUCAGAACAAUUCGAUCGAUUGUGUGCUUUUUUUUUGAUUUAGCCGAUCAGCCAGACAUUUCUUCUGUUGGCAAAUGUUUUGUAAAGUAUUAUCAUCUCAACUUUCUUCUUUCUUAUCUCGGCAACAAUCUUUGGGUGCCGAGCUUUUAUCUUUGGAUCAACAUUUCCACAAAGUUGAUCAUUUUAAAAAGGCUAUACCUGAGAUAGCAGCUUCAAUAACUGACACAAGCCGAGAAGAUCAACUUUUGGAAAAUCAGGAUCAGCCCUGCAGCAGCGGAUUUUCACUCUCAAAGAAGAAUUAGCUGCGGCUGAAUUGACUUUGGCUCGCACCUCUGAACGUCGGUUCCAACUGCAAGAUCAAUUGAAGAUGAAGAAAAGUGAAGGGAUGAAACUUCAAGAAAAAACUUUCCCAACUUUACAAAGUGCAUCCCUUGAUGAAACGCAGGAGAAAGGCCGUUGAAACUGCCUAAGCCAAUUUAAUAACCGAAUGGAACCAGCUCAAGGAUUUACUAUCUUGAUUUGGCUUGUAAUACCUUAACUCUAACUUUGAUUAUUCUCCCACAUGGAUGGGUAAUACUUCUUCAGAUAUUUUUUAUUGAUCGGCUUCUUAUUUUCUAACCCAUCUAUGUUUUUUAAGUAAUAUGCAUUUCCCUUUGUGACUCUGCUUAUUUGAAAUGGUCCUUCCCAACUCGGAGACCAUUUUCCAUAUGCUCGGUCUUUUUGACCGAUUGGAAAUAUUAGUCUAAGAACUAAAUCACCAAUUGCAAAUGAUUUAGCUCUAACUUUUUUAUUAUAUGCAUUGCGUACUCGGCUUUGAUAAGCUUGCAAAUGGUUCAAUGCCAUCAACCGAGUUUCAUGUAUUUCUUCUAUUUCUUCAUUCAUCAAAUCACUAUAUUCAUCAACCGAUAGUUCUUUUUGCUUUUCCACUCUUAAAGAAGGAACUGUUAUUUCGGCUGGUACCACGGCCUCGUGGCCGUAUACUAAUUGAAACGGUGUCGUCCCCGUUGUCGUUUUCACUGAAGUUCGGCAUGCCCAUGGUAUUUUGUAUAGUUUUUCAUUCUAUUUUCUUGGAUAUUUUCCAAUAUGCCGCUUCAUAAGAUUUAUAAUUAGCUUAUUUGUUGCCUCGGUUUGUCCAUUGGCUUGAGCAUAAUAAGGUGACAAAUGGAGUAGCUUAAUCUUUCGAGAUUCGACGAACCGAACAAACUGUCCUCCUGUGAACAUUGUUCCUUGAUCGGUUGUAAUCGUCUCGGGAACUCCAAAAUGAUGAAUUAUAGAAUCUUCAACAAAAUUAAUGAUUUCUUUUUGAGUGACCAACCGAGCGGGUUUUACUUCUACCCACUCAGUAAAAUAAUCAACGGCCACUAUUAAAAACUUAUGACCAGCUGAAGAAUUCGGCUGAAUUUCUCCGAUUAAAUCCAUAGCCCAUCCUCGAAAAGGCCAUGAUUUAAUUAUAGCAUACAUCUCAGAGGUAAGAACUCUUUGUACUGAGUCAUGAAAUUGACAAUCUUUGCAAUCUUUAGCAUAUUUUAUGCAAUCAUGAUGCAUAGUCUGCCAAUAAUAUCCUAAAUGCCGAAUUGUCCAUCUUAAUCCUUUCCCUGCCAAAUGGGCUCCACACAAACCUUCAUGUGUUUCUCCCAUCACUAAUAGAGCUUCUUCGAGUCCUAAACAUUUCAAUAGUACUUCUUCGGCUGUUCUUUUGUAAAGUUGUCCAUUCAACAGACAAUAGCCGAGUGCUCUUCUUCGAAUAUUAUAAUCGGCCCGUUUAUUGGAGUCUUCUAAAUAUUCGAUUAUGGAUUUUCUCCAAUCCAAUCUUUUUUCACCCCUAUGGGGGCAAUAAUCGGCUCUCGAAUAUGAAUCGAAGGUAACAAUCUGCACUCUAUUUUUACUAGACUCCUCUCCAGCUCUCUAUACCCUGAAGCCGAUUGGGCUAAUGCAUUAGCCUUUUCGUUUUCUUCUCUUGCUAAGUGCUUAAACUCAACCUCUCCAUAAUUACAAAGUAAUUCUAUCGUCUUUUGCAAAUAGUUUUGCAAAUUUCGGUUUUCACAUCGGUAUUCUCCAUUGACUUGUUUAAUCACUAAUUGUGAAUCACCGAUGACCUUGAGUUAGUGAACUCCUAAUUCUUGUAAAAUUUCAAGGCCAAUUAUUAAAUCCUCGUAUUCGGCUUGAUUAUUAGAACAGCCAAAAUCUAAUUCAAAAACAAAUCGAUAGGUAUAUCCCUCAGCAAAUCGAUAGGUAUAUCCCUCAGGAGACUGUAUUACUACUUCAGCUCUCGCUGAUACGGCUGUUCUUGAGCCAACAAAUUAAAGUAUCUAAUGUUGACAGCCGAUCAAAUUUUGCUUUGGCUCUUCAAUUUCAACAUAUGGGUAAUCAGCCAGAAAAUCAGCUAUUGCUUGUCCUUUAACAGCUUUUGCUGGAACAUAAUUAAUAGAAAAUUCAGACAAAGCCAAUAUCUAUUUUUCGAUUCGACCUCUUAAUACUGGCUUGGAUAACAUAUAUUUUACUAAGUCGGGUUUACAUAUUACCGACACUUCGGUUGGUAAAAUAUAAUACUUCAAUUUUGUACAGGCAUAAUAUAAAGCUAAACAUAGUUUUUCAACUGCCGAGUAUCAUUUUUCGGCAUCUAAUAAUCGCCUGCUGAAGUAAUAUAUGGCAUGUUCCUCUUUUUCUUCAUUCACUUGGGCCAACAAGCAUCCUAAAUUUUCCUCUCCAACCGAAAUAUAUAGUUUCAUCGGUUGUCCUUGCUUAUGAGGCAUAAGGACCGGAAGAUUUGAUAAAUAUUUCUUUAUAUUUUCAAAAGCUCCUUGUUGUUUCUCUACCAAAAUAAAUUCUUCUUUACUUUUAAGCCGAAGUAAUGAAGUAAAAACUCCUAUUCUAUCAGCCAAAUUUUAUAUGAAUCGCCGCAGAUAAUUAAUUUUUCCCAAUAAACUCUGUAAUUCUUUUUUACUCUUUGGUGGCGGCAAUUCUAAUAUAGCUUUCGCUUUGUUUUUAUCGACCUCGAUCCCUUUUUUAUGCACUAAGAAUUUCAGAAAAUUUUCUGUAGAAACUCCAAAGGCACACUUCAAAGGGUUCAUUUUUAAAUUAUAUUUUCUCUUUCUUUCAAAGGCGAGUUUUAAAUUCGCCCAAUGUUUGGCUUGUGAUUUAGAUUUUAUAACUAUAUUAUCGAUAUAAACCUCCAACAUUUUGCUGAUUAAAUCAUGAAAAAUAAAAUUCAUUGCUCUCUGAUAGGUAUCUCCGGCAUUUUUUAAACCGAACGGCAUGACCAUCCACUCAAAGGUCCCAAUAGACCCUGGGCAUCUAAAAGUCGUUUUAGCUACAUCUUCUUCAGCAAUAUAAAUCUGAUUGUAACCUGCAUGUCCGUCCGUAAAGAACAAGAUUUCAUUACCGGCAGCCGAAUCCACUAACAUAUCGGUUAUUGGCGUUGGAUACUCAUCCUUAGGUGUAGCCAAAUUUAAGUUCCUAAAAUCAAUGCAAACUCUAAGUUUACCAUUCUUUUUACAUACAGGAACUAUAUUAGAUACCCAAUCGACAUAACAGGCUGCUCUAAUAAAACCGGCCUUCAAAAGAUUUUUAAUUUCGUUCUUAAUUUGAAGUACAAUAUUCGGCUCAAACCUACGAGCUGGCUAUUUGUAAGGCUUAUAUCCCUUUUUAAUAGGUAGCCUAUAUUCUAUAAUUUUUUGGUUUGAACCUAGCAUUUCUUUAUAGCUCCAGGCAAAGCAGUCCUUGUACUCCAACAGCAAUACUUUCAGCUCCUCCUGUUGUUGAGCCGAAAGUUUAGCACUAAUGUAGGUCGGUCUAUUGUCUUCAUCAGAUCCCAAGUUUACUUCUAUUAAUGGAUCUUGAGUUUCUAGCUUCUUGUCAUCGACUUUAAUAGGCGAUUCCUCCAUAUUCAACUCGUUUGUUGGCCUCCUUAAUUCAUCUGGUCUUUCUUCAUUAGCAUUCAUUGCCAAUUUCAAUACUUCCUUAUCGACCUCCACAACCGAUUUUGAAAACUCAUUAUCGGCCACCUUGGCCGCCUUGCUAAAUGUUAAAUCAUCGGCUUGAUUGGCCGAAUUACUUUAAUAACCGAUCUCGUUGAUUGGCUCAUUCAGCCGAAGCUCUUCUAAAGCUUCGGUUCCUGAUCUCUGAUAUUCCAUUUUAUCUAGUUUGGUGGCUCUUCGGCUGCCACCAUAGCUCCUUCGUCUUUAGAGAGAAUUAAUUGUACUCCCUCUUCAGUAACUCUUAUAAAAGAAAUUUGGUCCGGAUCAGCAUCGGCCCAAUUAAUAUGGCCGAUUUCUUCUGCAUUGAUGUCCACCAUUUAGGGCCAACCUUCAGCCCUGAUUUCUUCUACUCUUUCUCCAACCCACUGGAAUAACUUUCCAUGGAGUGUAGAAGGUAUGCAUUCGUUUAUGUGUAUCCAGUCACACCCGAGUAGCAGGUUGUAAUAACUAUCUCCAUCUACUACAGAAAAUGCAGUGCGUAGAGUUUUAGAACCUAUCGUUAUCUCAGUUGUGACUACCCCUCUAGCUUGUUGACUGCUUCCAGUAAAGUUGGUCAUGAUUGUAUCGAUGGGCUUCAAUUCAUCUUCAUUCUUGCCCAAUUUCUUAAGAAUGAAGUGGGCAUAACAUUGACCAUUGCUCAACUGUCUACCAUGACUCGACCUACGGGUCGUCCUUCUAUCAAAGCCCGUAUGAACAAAGGCCUCACAAAUCUUGUCUGCAUGACCGAUGGUUUCUCAAAAACCACUGCAUCGUCCGACUUGGCAACUUCUUCGUCUACCAUCUUCUCGUACUUAAUAUACUCUGUCUUGAAAGAUUGUGGCAGAGAAUAUACCAUAUUGACAUCGACUGGUCCUUCAUCAGCCGAUUUUCCUUGUAUUCUUUGUUUCUUCUCUUCAAACUCCUUUGCCGUCUCGGCUGAGGAGUCACUUUCCAUCCGUGCCUCCCUCUCCUUAGGAGGCCAUCUCUCUCGCUUGAUGAUUGUCUCGAGGGAAGCUAUUUUUUCUUCUAAUUCCCUUCGGUAACCUUCUUCUCUGGUUCGACCGUGAUUGGCCGUUCUAUCUUUGAUUUUAACCAAGGGAGGGUGAUGAACCACCCAUCUCAUGAUCAUUCUUCAUUGGACGAAAAGGGUGUGGUAGCUUAUUGGGUCGUCUCCACAUGUUCAGCUUCAUCCCUUUUGCCUCCUCAUAGUGGUGUCUUACCUCAGCUUGCAUCCUCUGCUGCCGACGCUUUUGUGUUUUCGUUAACAUCGGCCCUUGCUACUUGGCCGAUGGUCUAACCUCAUGCCAUUGAUCAACCGGCACAUUUACCCGUACUUUAACCGUUCUCAAAUGAUUCUUCAAAAUUUCUCUCCUUUCCCAGGGUCUUGACCAGGGCUUAUGCCGAGCUCGUUGACUAGUCUCCGACCGAGGAGCUCUAUAUCCCUUUCAGUCAUUCCUUCGAACUCUGGUUCUGGUCUCGGCCUGGCUUGAUGCUGCCAAUGUGGCCAAUACCCAGGGAAUCUCUGUUUCGAGCCGAAUGGUUUAUCUGGGUAACUCCAUCACCUGUUAUGUUCUUCUUUCCUGCUAUUGUAAUAAUCAUACAGGACUUUCUGCAUUAAUAAAUUCUUCUUGUUUUGAACCGAAUCAAUGUCCGGUUAAGAUUCAUUGGAGGCUUCGUCUGAGCCAUCCUCUGAUUGAUCAUCUCUUUCGAGAAUCUCCUCCCAUUCUUCGGGGAACGCCAUUAAUUCUCUCCAUUCAUUACUCCUCUUCUUCUCGUUGAUUACGGCUUCCAAAUCUUUCUUUGUCAUUUCGACUUUACACCUUAUGCAGAUCCGAAGAGUUCUCUUGACAUAGGCAACGUGCUCAGCGGUCUUCUUGUCCGCGACUGCCUUUCCCAUGACGUCCACCAUAUUUACCUGCGAUGAAAAUGAAUUCUUGUCAAUUUUUAUAUUUUUAUUCUAUUGAUCGGCAAAUAUGAGCCGACCCUUAUUUAUUUUUUUUGAAUCUGUCUUUUAAAGGCAGUACAUUCAUUCGUUUUAUGGCUCCACGAAUGGUGCCAUUUACAGUAUUUUCUUCUUUUUAAUUCUUCUCCAGAGGGUAUGGUUUCACCCUCCUGUAAGUGAAUCCGUCCAUCUUUUAAUAACCGUAAUUAGAUCGGUCUUUGAAACGUCAAAAGAAUAAGUAUAUGCCGAAACCCGUGCUUUUGCCUCGCUUGAUUUAGAUGGCUUCAACAAAGUAUAUUUAUAUGGUUGACGGUUUCUAACCAUCUCAGCAGCAUAUAUUUCGGCUUCACCAGCCGAAUCCUCGAUCUCUUCAGAUGAAUUCGUCUCCUCAUAAGCCGACGAUUCUUCAAGGAAAAAAAUGUUUUUCUCUUUUUCUUUGUUCCACUCUUUAUUUCGGCUCUAUCUGGGCCGAUUCUCACUAUUUUCCUUUCGGAAUUGCUCGUAUUAAGCAAUCCGAACUCCCAAAUCAAAAAGAUUUGGAAAGUAUUUAUCUUCAAAAUGAUCUUUAAUUUUGAAGUGUAAGCCGUUGAAUGCCAUUUUGGCAAAUUCUGACUCUGGCAUCCUGACGAAACAACGGCCCGUGGUCGUUUUAAAUCGGUUCAAGUAUUCUUCACCGAUUCGCCCGUCCUCUGUUUAAACUGAGCCAGAUCAGCUACUGACAAUUUCGGUUCUGAUCUAUAAAAUUGUUCAUGAAAUUUUCCUUCUAAUUCGUCCCAAUCUCGGACGGAAUUAGCCGGUAAACACGUAUACCAAGUAAAAGCCGUCUUGGUUAACGAAGUGUUAAAUAACCUCAAUUUUAAAAAUAGAUCUGCCGCGACUUCUCGGCAUUGUGCUGUAAACCGUGCAACAUGUUCAACCGUGUUUUCGGUCUCAUCACCGAAAAAUUUGUCAAAUUUCGGCAUUUUUCAAUUUGUCGGGUAUGGAUGCUCUGCGUCUAUAUUCGCAGGAUGGGGUGAUCUAAAUACAGGUCGCAUUGUCGGCCUUGCACCUACUCCGAAAGUAUUUCGGAUGAAUUCUUCUAUUUGUGCAUAGAUUUCAUUAUUGUUCCCCUGUAAGGGAACUUGUGCUUGUACUUGUGCUAUAUUUGGUCCUUGUGGUAGACCGAAAUUUUGUACCACAGGGUUGAUCCCUUGUACAUUUGGGGCCUUCCCCCUAGCCCUAGCCCCUACAUUUUGGGGCUGAUAUACAGUUACUGGUUGAGGAGGUGGUAACCCCCAUGCUAUGUCUGGCAGUUGACCGGCAUUAACAACAGCCGGUCUAUAAGCCGCUUAAAAUUAUGUCCCCAGGUGUUGGGGCUGACCAUUUGCCGGUGUUAUAGGAUUUUAUAACACUGGCGUCAUCACAGGCCCUUGUAAGCCUGUUGCUGGUUGCUCGUUUCGAGUCAACAAUUGCCCUAUUCGGGCAAUAUUCUUAUUUGAGGCCGUGGUUGCGACCAAUACUGCAUCUAAACGUGUAGUGCUUCUAUGACUAUUUUGGUCUAAAACUUGUAGGACUCGAGUCAUUUGUCCAAGCGUCUGAGCCAAACUAGGCUCCUGUUGGUCGGAUUGCCCACUAGUCUCACCCUCGGCAGGUAAGACUGCUUAACGCUCUCCAGCGUUAUCUGAAUUGCUGGAUAGUUGAUCGCUCCUAGAACUUCUAGGAACGACCCUAUUGCGCACGUUCAUGGCAUUAUCAUCAGCCAUUAUAUCUUAGUAAAGAGUAAAAUUACCUUGAAUGGUCCCACCGGGUGAGCCAAAAAUUAUUGGUAGCUGAACUCUCCCUUCUUUGACCUUGUCAAAGAUCUUCCUCGGGAAUGAUGCCGGGAUGUGACACGGCUAUGAUUAAUGACCCUCGAAAUUUGCGCCCUUCGACUAGAUCAAACGAUUCGGCUGAUGAGGGAUCGGAUCAGCUGAGUUUGGAAUCUCUAAUAGAAACUCGGUUAGGCUGGAAGAGCCGAAUGUACGGAAUGUGCAGAAUCUAAAGUCGGCCGAAGAGCCGAAUGGAUGAGAGAACACAGAAAUUGGUCUGCUUAAAGAGCCGAAAACCUUUAAAAUAUAUUUGAAAUUACUCUCGAGGGAAAGUACAAGGGUUGAGUGUGACUGAGGGCAUACAUACUCGGUUGAUUUAUUCUAAUUCUACUCCUAGGAAAAACAGUAAAUGCUGAAAAUUAAAGGGUUACAAGUAGACUACUAAGAAAUGCGAAAAAUUGCAAGGAAAUAAGAGUGAUCUUCAGUUCACGGGAAAAAGAUCACUUUUUAGGGCAUUAUUGGCCUAUUUAUAUAACGCCCCUCUUGAUCAAUUAUUACCUAUCCAUGAUCGGCCACUAUUCCCUAAUUUUUCGGGCCACUUCCAGCCGAUCGGAACCGCUUGCAACUGCUCGCGGUUGCUCUAACUUCCCUUAAUUCACGCGGGUUCACUUUUUGAUGCUCCCGGUGCACAGCAGAAACAUUACUUUCUUUUAAACAAAACCGCUAUGGUGUAUCGGGUACUACGUGUCUGCGCCUUAUUGGCCCAACACCUCUAUAGUAAGCCGUCUAUCUCAUCUUUAUAUCAUCUGAUUCAUCAGAAUCGGUUCUCAUCAUAAAAAAUAUUUAUUUUUCUUGAUAUAUGUAACGGUGGAACUAUGAGAGAAGGAGAGCAGAAGAGAUUAAGAUGACAAAUUAAAUCCAUCCCUAUCGAAUAAAAGCAGCCGAGUUAGAUUUAGUAGUAAUCGGGUGGUCAGACUAUCGGCUCGGGUAAAAGGGCGAUGUUUAGAUCCGAACCGGACUCUAGGUUGCCAACAAAUAGGGCCGUCCACAGUGGGGCUGGACGAAGAUCGGCCCAUAUUGCCUCGGAUCCUUUUUUAGAUUUUUUUUCAAUUUUAUACAUAAUAUUUUUAUUUUUAUUUUUCAAAUAAUUGUUUUUAAUUGGACAGACAUUUGGAGAGAUGUUCCAAAAGCAACAAAUUUUUUUUCUUUUUCGCUUCCAAUGUGGCCAUAAAAUGUACAUUUUUUUAAAGUCAAUUUUUUAUUUUAAUUCAAAAUUUUAAAAUGAGUUUAAAAGUUUAUAUUAAAAUAUGAAAAAAUUUUAAAUGUUCUUACAGAUAAAAAGUUGAAAAGAAUUUAUACACUUUAUUUGUCAAAUUAAACUGCUCUAUUCCAAUGGAUUCGCGGCGUCCCCCACUUUGCCCCCGCAAACGAAAGUACUGACGGAUAACUUGAAUAUCGAACUGCUCUGUACCAAAUUGUUAGAAUAUUUUUCCUCCUAAUUAUAGUUUUGAUACCAUUAGAUAGAUUCUUGCUUAUGGUCCUCAUUCACGAUCUGCAAAAGAACGGAACAUUUCGAGUCUAAUUCUUUUAUCCCCGGAGAUGGAGCCGUCACAGUAAUUAGGAUUAGGAUUAGACCGGGACUCUCGUGUGUUAUAUAUUUAUAUAUAACUUGAUAUAAAGAUGUUCAAUCAUGUAUUUUCAUCAAGGACGUGUCUAGAUACAUUCUAGCCGUUAGAUCUACUGUAUCUUUAUAGAUUGACUUGAAUAGACCGAUUGUAUCUUUAUAAAUCGUUUUGAGUAAAUCACAUGGGCCACAUCUAUAUUCUCUCACUUGGCCUAGUGAUAUAUUCAUACCAUAUAGUAGAUACAAAACUUUAUUAGGUAUCAACUAAAUUAUACAGUCAAGGCAUGUUUGGUUUGCUUCUUUUUCACCUAAAAUUGGAAGCGAAAUGGAUGAAUCCGUUUGUGGGCGUUUGGUAUGCGGAAGUCCCAUUUCGAUUCCGAUUCUUGAGUGGAAUGGGACUCUCCCAAUCACCUCUUUUUCCAAUCCGGCCUAGGAGGCCGGAUUGGAAGUUGAAUUCGGACGGAAUGAAUAUUUAUUCGGAUUAAAUUUAUUUUUUCAACUUUUUUAAUUAAAAUAUGAGUUUAAAUUUAGAAAUUAAAAUUAAAAUUUUAAAUUUGAAUUUGAAUUUGAAUUAAAAAUUAAAAUUUAAUCAAGUAUUUUGAAUCAAACUUAUAAAUUUGAAUUUAAAUUAAAAUUUAAUUUAUAUAAAGUUUUAUUCAAAUUUUAUUUAAAAUUUAAAUUAAAUUUAUAGAUUCAAAUUAAAUUUUAAAUUGUAAUUUUAAGUUUGAAUUUGAAUAUAUCGAAAUUUAGGACAAAAAUUUUAUGGGCAUAGGACCCAAACUAAUUAGUUUGGGGACUAUGCGGAUCGGCGCCACGUGGCCGAUGGCCAUGUUUCUCAAUUGCUUUUGCUCUCUCUCUCUAUAAACACAGGAUUUUUUUUUUUCUUUCCAUCCGUGGCCGUCGGAUCGGCCACGUGGCGCCAAUCCGCAUAAUACCCAAACUAAUUAGUUUGGAAAUUAUGCCUAUAAAAUUUUUGUCCUCCCAACAAUGCUGUUCUUUUAAAUUAUCCACUCAACUUUAAAGUUUAAUUUUUAAAAAAAAAUUGAUUUAAAAUUUUGACAUUAUUUUAAAAUUUUGAUGUAAAUUUUUAAUAUUUAAUUUUCAAUUUGAAUUUAAAUUAAUAUAUUAUAAAGAUAAAGUUAGUAUAUUAAUUUGAUUACGUUUUUUAUAUCUACCUGAACCAAACACCGACAAUGGAAAUAAUUUAUUCCGAUUCCGAUUCAGGUAAUGAACCAAACAGAAUUAGGUAAUGAGUCAUUCCGAUUUAGAUUUCAGCUUAUUUCGAUUCCGAUUAUGAUUCCGAUUCCAACUUUGAACCAAACGCGCCCUCAAAGUCUUCCACUCAACCAAAAAAUCACAAUACUUUGAUCCGAGUGAUUAUAUUCCAAAAGAAGAACACUACCUUUCAUAUAUUAAAAACACGUAUUCGUUAAUCAAAUAACUUUAUGAGUUAAAAUAGUAUGAACUUAUUAUAAGUUCAACUCAAAGUCCCACUUUAGUUCACAAUAAUACUUUAUGCACAUAUGUGUAAAAACCAAAAUGUGUUCUUACUCAAAUAAAAAUAGUUCUUAAUGUUUUUAUACAAGAAGAAAAAUACUUAAACUGUAAAUAAACUCAAGAUACCCAUAUGAUUAACAUGAUUCUUGAACUUGUUUGAUAGUGAUGGUUUAGUCAUAGGAUCAGCAAUAAUCAUUUCGCUCCCAGCAAGAUACAUUGUAUUGAUAUGUUUGCUGCGAUCUAUAAUUCGACUAUUCUUGACACAAAACACUGCAGCAAAAUUGUUGCAAUGAAUUUUAAUUGGCUUUGAGAUAGAAUUGACAGCUCUUAAACGUGAGAUACAAUUUCUCAGCCAUCAAGCCUAUGACGAAGCCUCAUAAUAAGCGAUGAGCUCUAUCUCCAUAAUGGAUGUAGCAACUAUAUCUUACUUUGUGCUCAUUCAAGAUAUUGCACCUUGAGUAAGAAAGAAAAUAUAUUCUGAUGUAGACUUUCUAGAAUUCACACAUCCAAUAAAAUCAGAGUGCGAAUAUCCAACCACCUCAAAAAAAUUUUUGCAGCUUUCCAAUGUUUAAGACUAGAGUUGCUUUGGUAUCUACCCAGCAUCCCCACUGCAUGAGCUAUAUCAAGUCUGGUACAAACCUGCGCAUACAUCAAGCUUCCUACUGCAGAGGCAUAGGGUAUGCUCUUCAUAUACUGUCGUUUAAAUCAUUCAGUGGGCACUGUUUCUGAUUGAACCUAUCACCUUUUACAAUAGGUACAGCUGUAGGUGCACAGUUUGCCAUAUUAAAUUUUUCUAAAACUUUUUUAAUGUAUUUCUGAUAUUGACCCAAAAUCUUUUGAGAUCUAUUUCUAAAAAUCUUUAUGCCAAUGACAUAAGAAGUUUCACCCAAAUCCUUCAUCUCAAUGUUCUUAGAAAGAAAUUCUUUGGUCUCUUUAAGAAAACAUAAAUUACUACUUGCAAGCAGAAUGUCAUCUACAUGUGGGAUUAAAAAAAUAUACUUACUCCCAUUAACCUUAAGGUAUAUGCAGUGGUCCACAAUAUUUUCUACAAAAUCGAAUAUAGUAAUUAUAUUAUGAAACUUGAUAUAUCACUGAUGGGAAGCAUGUUUAAGUCCGUAUAUAGAUUUCUUUAAUCUGCAAAUAAAAUGAUUAUUUUCAUCUAUACUAAUACCUUCGGACUUGCAUAUAGAAUAUCUUCUCUAUUUUCCCAUUUAGAAAUACAACUUUCACAUCCAUCUAAUGUAGCUCCUGUUGGAUUUUAUUGGAUUUUUGGUUAUUUAAAACUUGUUAGGCCUCUUAGACAGCCCAAUACUUAAUAGGCCUUGCCUGGAAACCCAACUAAAAUUUUCAUAUGUGAGAUUUAGUCCCACAUUGGAAACUACAAGGGUGUUGCUGGUAUUUAUAUAUCCCUUUAUUCUCAAGCUAGUUGCAUGGGAGAAAAUGAGAGUUAUACUAUCGUUUAAACACACGCACGCACGGCACGAGCCCGAGCCAAGCCGAUUUUCGCAAAACCCUAUCUUCUACAUCGUUUUUUCUGCUUUCUCACGAUUGAUCUUUUGCGCCGACUUUCGCCAAGCUUUCUCAUAUUUUGCUGGAUCUGAAGCUUGUUGGGUUCGUUUUGCGCCACCUCGAAAGCGUGUCGACGGGGUGGAACGUGGUCAUUGUAUCGCUGGAAGUAAUUGUAGGGAAGUCUUGCCCGUAGAGGGACAAUUUCGCUUCUAGUACAGUGCUCUACACGCCUCGAUCCACAGACCUUCUCUAAUCCUUUCCUUUACAAUAUUUGUUAUUUAAUUUCUUUCUCGAAAUUUUUCUAAAACUGAAAUUAAGUUUCAAAUUAUUUUUAAAGAAUAUUUUAAUAAAAGAUCAGAAAGAUUUUUCAACAAUUUAGAAGCGAAAUAUUUAAUUUAAUCUUUCUGUUUCUUUUAUUAUACUAAUUAAAAUAUUUCUUCUCUACAAAUCAAUAUAUAUAUGUCACGCCCCGGGGCCCCUUUUUAGUUUAAAGCAUAGCGGAAAAGCGUCUGAAAUUUUUUUUUUUUUUUUUUUCGAAAACCUGACCCCAGGGUAUGCCAGAUCCGCCACAAAUANNNNNNNNNNNNNNNNNNNNNNNNNNNNNNNNNNNNNNNNNNNNNNNNNNNNNNNNNNNNNNNNNNNNNNNNNNNNNNNNNNNNNNNNNNNNNNNNNNNNNNNNNNNNNNNNNNNNNNNNNNNNNNNNNNNNNNNNNNNNNNNNNNNNNNNNNNNNNNNNNNNNNNNNNNNNNNNNNNNNNNNNNNNNNNNNNNNNNNNNNNNNNNNNNNNNNNNNNNNNNNNNNNNNNNNNNNNNNNNNNNNNNNNNNNNNNNNNNNNNNNNNNNNNNNNNNNNNNNNNNNNNNNNNNNNNNNNNNNNNNNNNNNNNNNNNNNNNNNNNNNNNNNNNNNNNNNNNNNNNNNNNNNNNNNNNNNNNNNNNNNNNNNNNNNNNNNNNNNNNNNNNNNNNNNNNNNNNNNNNNNNNNNNNNNNNNNNNNNNNNNNNNNNNNNNNNNNNNNNNNNNNNNNNNNNNNNNNNNNNNNNNNNNNNNNNNNNNNNNNNNNNNNNNNNNNNNNNNNNNNNNNNNNNNNNNNNNNNNNNNNNNNNNNNNNNNNNNNNNNNNNNNNNNNNNNNNNNNNNNNNNNNNNNNNNNNNNNNNNNNNNNNNNNNNNNNNNNNNNNNNNNNNNNNNNNNNNNNNNNNNNNNNNNNNNNNNNNNNNNNNNNNNNNNNNNNNNNNNNNNNNNNNNNNNNNNNNNNNNNNNNNNNNNNNNNNNNNNNNNNNNNNNNNNNNNNNNNNNNNNNNNNNNNNNNNNNNNNNNNNNNNNNNNNNNNNNNNNNNNNNNNNNNNNNNNNNNNNNNNNNNNNNNNNNNNNNNNNNNNNNNNNNNNNNNNNNNNNNNNNNNNNNNNNNNNNNNNNNNNNNNNNNNNNNNNNNNNNNNNNNNNNNNNNNNNNNNNNNNNNNNNNNNNNNNNNNNNNNNNNNNNNNNNNNNNNNNNNNNNNNNNNNNNNNNNNNNNNNNNNNNNNNNNNNNNNNNNNNNNNNNNNNNNNNNNNNNNNNNNNNNNNNNNNNNNNNNNNNNNNNNNNNNNNNNNNNNNNNNNNNNNNNNNNNNNNNNNNNNNNNNNNNNNNNNNNNNNNNNNNNNNNNNNNNNNNNNNNNNNNNNNNNNNNNNNNNNNNNNNNNNNNNNNNNNNNNNNNNNNNNNNNNNNNNNNNNNNNNNNNNNNNNNNNNNNNNNNNNNNNNNNNNNNNNNNNNNNNNNNNNNNNNNNNNNNNNNNNNNNNNNNNNNNNNNNNNNNNNNNNNNNNNNNNNNNNNNNNNNNNNNNNNNNNNNNNNNNNNNNNNNNNNNNNNNNNNNNNNNNNNNNNNNNNNNNNNNNNNNNNNNNNNNNNNNNNNNNNNNNNNNNNNNNNNNNNNNNNNNNNNNNNNNNNNNNNNNNNNNNNNNNNNNNNNNNNNNNNNNNNNNNNNNNNNNNNNNNNNNNNNNNNNNNNNNNNNNNNNNNNNNNNNNNNNNNNNNNNNNNNNNNNNNNNNNNNAAUUAUGCUACUAUACUAUCAAUAGUACCAAGCCCUUAGUACUAUUGAGUUUUCGGCCGUUGGAUGAAAAGAUGUGCAGUUAGGAUGAUAGUGGUCUCCGGUUAAAUUGAAAGUGGUUCCCUAGGGUUGAGUGGGUUGUUGGUUUAAUAAUAUAAUCUAACGGGUGGAAAUGAUCAAAGGGUAAAUCUAACGGUAGAAAACUCAAUAGUACCAAGGGCUUGGUACUAUCAAUAGUAUAGUAGCCGGACUCUCUCUCUCUCUCUCUCUCUCUCUAUAUAUAUAUAUAUAUAUAUAUAUAUAUAUAUAUAUGUUUUUUUAUAGUUCUAGUGCUAGCAAAGUCCAUCUGAUCCACGACAUAUAUAUUGGUUGAACAGUACCAUAACUUAAAUCAGUGUGCUCGCCGGCUGUAUUUGUGCGUAAUUAAUUAGAUGAUAUAUAUCAUCAAUAGAUAGUGAUAUUAUUAUAAUAUUACUAAUGGAAUUUUGUUGGGUNUGGGUGAUACUUGUGUGUUUUUAGCCCUUGGAUGGAGAGAUGUGAGGUUGAGAUGAUGGUGGUAGGUGGUCGUAGGUGGUGGUAGGUGGAAUAGUGUUUAAUUCAAGGGCUAUUAAUAAUCAAAAAGUAGAUCCAAUGGCUUAAAACCUAAUAGCACAAUGAUGGUGAUACUUGUAAAAGUAUCAUAGCUCAACUCUAUAUAUAUAUAUAUAUAUAUAUAUAUAUAUAUGGGGCAAUUGCUUAUAUACUCCUGAAAAGUUUUUGACUUUCCGAUCCCCUCUUAGAAGGCUAAUAUUGAAAAUACCUUUUCUACGUUCCAACAUAUUUCUAAUAUACCCCUAGAGUUAAAAUCUGUUAAUGAACUCUGUUAUCUCUGUAAAAUUACUAUUUUGCCCUUUCAAAUAUACCCUUCUACCAUCACUGACUUUCUUAUUUGCUCUUAAAGUCAGGAGUACAAAAAGUAUUUUGACUUUUGGUCAUUUUCAAUAUACCCCUCUACCGUCACCAACAUUUCUUAUUUGCCCUUAAGUUAAGAACAAAAUUGGCAUUUUAAUUUUUUUUUAACUGUGGUAGAUAUUUAACUCACGUUUAAACCAAGUUAAUUUAACAGGAGAUAACUGCGGGGAUAUUUUGUAAUAACGGUGGAACAUAUGAGGGGUAUUUUAGAAAGAAGAAAAAAGUAGGGGUAAAUCAGAUAUUUUCAAACGUAUGAGGGAUAUAUAGGCAAUUAUCCCUAUAUAUAUAGAGUUGGUCUAGAAUACUAUUGAUAGCAAAAAGUAAGUCUUUUUUGCUAUCAAGUUUUUAGCUUUCAGAUCAAUUUCUUUCAUCAUUUCUAACCAUUGGAUUAAAUAUUAUAACUCAGUGGGGACCACUCAACCGUAGGGGGACCACUCAACCCUAAGGGACUAAUAUCAUCCUAACCCUACAAUUUCUCAUCCAAGGGUAAAAACUUGAUAGCAAAAAGGGUAUUUUGCUAUCAAUAGUAUUUUAGCUCAACUCUAUAUAUAUAUAUCGUAAUCUUCCUGAGUAACACGUAGAAUAUCUUACUGUUAUUUUUCUGAAAUUCAAAACUAUUUUGUGACAUAACAGUAGGGUUAUUUGUGAACAGUUUUUUUUUUUAUUAUGGAGGAUUCGGCGAAAUCUUUUACUUUUGAUGGUCGUAAUUUAAAAGGUGGCAGAACCAAAUGAGAUUCUGGGUCACCACACUUGGGCU